CCAGGUAUGCUCUAGAAUUGGUGUCUAAUAUGAGGACUAGGAUGAGAAAGUUUGCUUUUGAACUAUCUCGGGAUUUGAUCCUUAAAAGCAAGAAUGUAUUGUUGAUCAAGGAUAUGGAUAUUUCUAGGUUGGUGGUUCAUAUGCAAUACGUGGAGGAAUAAAAGAGAAAACAGACUGAGUUUGGGGAAAGACAGGGUAAGAAGUUCAAGUCCACUGAACAGGGUGGUGCUCAAUAGAAAGGUGGUCGGGAUGGAGAUUGAGUUUCGUAUUGAUUUUGUUCUGGACACUCGUCCAAUAUCUAUUCCUCCUUAUAGAAUGGCUUCGGCUGAGUUGAGGGAACUCAAGAAGCAACUUAAGGAUCUUUUCAAUAAAGGUUUCAUCCAUCCUAGUGUAUCCCCGUGGGGUGCCCAAAUUUUAGGACCAACUAUUUGGUAGAGGAUUAUGUGCAGUUAUAUCUUCAUGAGAUUGUAAAGCUGCAUGGGGUUCCUGUUUUGAUUACCUUUGAUCGUGGUACGUAGUUUUCAUCUUUUUUUUGGUGGUCUUUUCAGAAGGGAUUAGAUACUAAGGUUAGUUUGAGUAUUACUUUUCAUCCACAGACAAAUAGGCAAGUAGAGUGGUCUAUUCAGACAUUGGAGAAUAUGCUUCAUGCAUGUGUGAUUGAUUAUGGUGGCACUUGAGUUGAUCAUCUACCUCUGGUAGAGUUUUCUUACAACAAUAGCUAUCAUUCAAGUAUUGGAAUUGCCCCUUUUAAAGUAUUGUAUGGGAGGAGGUGUAGAUCUCUUAUUGGGUGGUUCGAUCUUGGUGAGGUGGAUAUAUUUGGUCCAAAAUUGGUUAUCAAGUUAUGGAAAAGGUGAAAGUGAUUUGGGAUAUGCUUAAGGAUUUCCAAAGUCACCAAAAGUUCUAUGUGGAUGUUAGGCGUAGAGACUUGGAGUUUGAUAUUGGGGAUAAGGUGUUCCUAAUGGUAUCUCCUAUGAAGGCAGUGAUGUGGUUCGGUAAAAAGGGAAAGCUCUGUCCAUGGUAUAUUGUCCUUAUGUGGUUUUACAGAGGUUUGGUAACGUCGUAUAUGAAUUGGAGUUGCUUUCUAGCUUGAGAUCCAUUCAUCCGAUAUUUCAUGUCUCUAUGUUAAGGAAGUGUCUUGGUAAUGUUUCUUUGGUUGUUCCUUUGAAAGGAUUGGGUUUCUCGAAUUGUCUAUCUUAUAAAGAGGUCACAGUUGAGAUUCUAGAUCAGCAGGUUUGUAGGUUACGGACUAAGGAUGUGGCCUCAGUUAAGGUUAUAUGGCGGAACCACAAGGUGGAAGAGGCUCCAUGGGAAGCAGAAAUGGACAUAAAGUCCAAGUAUCCCUGUUUUUUUUGCUCCGUAUAUUCGUGCGGAAGGUAUGUAUUCUUCAACACAUUUUUAUUUUCUGAGUUUGUUAAAGAAAAGGUUGAUUUCCUUGCAUCUUUGUUAUCUAUCUUAAACGUAAUAGUAGAGGCAUCUAAGGGUGUAAAUCAUAAAUGUACUACCUUUUAUGUCAUUCAGGGAUGAAUGAUCCUAGUAAGGGGACUGAAACACCCUAGGUUUUUACCCUUAGAAAAAUUUCCUGCAUUGCUGGGUUCUAGACAACAUAUGACAUGUGGGUACCAGUCGUAUAAUGGGGUACGAGUGCUACGCCUUGAUCGUAUAUUGACCAGUGUUGGUUGGUGAGUUGGAUUGGUUUAUAUAAUGGGUACAACUUAGAUGGUACGAGUUUUAUGGUAGGGUAUGAGUCAUGACAUUAACUCGUAUGGUAGACAGUAUUCAAACUUUCUUGAUUCUAUUCUUCUAGGGAUACAGUUUAGGGGUACUAAUCGUAUGGUUUGAUAUGACUUGGUUUGGGUAAGUCGUAUGGUGGAUUGUGUUGGGUCCAAGUAAGAGGUCCAGGGUACGAGUGGUGGGUACCACUCAUAUUGGAGGGUACGAUUGGUAUGGUGGAGUCGUAUCCUCUGAUGGGAUUUUUUUACAAUUUACGUUAGGGAUAAUCUGGAUAUUUUCCCUUAUAACUCCUUGGGAUCCCAUGACUUAUAACUAACUUGGGACAUUAUUUACCCUAUUACUCUAUCAUUAAACACUUAGAAACUCUCUUCAACACUCUAUAAUUCUCUUUAAGGCUUUUGGGUAAAGGAAGUCUAGGGUUUAAUCUAGAGGAGCAAUUUGGGACUUGUUUGGGUGAUUUCUUUCCAUCAUCUUCUAAACUAAUCCAAGAUGCUCCUCCCUCCUUAUUAAUUCAAACUAAAGGCAUGCUUUAAAUAAUUUUUUCAUAGCAUGAUUUUUGUAUGGUUUUGGGGUUUUACUAUUUUAUGUUUGGUUAUAGUUUUCCUAUGUUUUAAUUAUAUAAUUACAUGCUUUAAUAGUGGUUUGGACAAUUGGUUUCAUGAGAAUGGUUAAUUGGUAAUUGGUUUUAGUUUUGGAAAUACUAUGCUCCCAACUUGUUUGAUAAAAUGCCUAUGAGAAUGCUUUUACCUUAUUAUUGAACUUUUAAUGGUACUAUUUCAUAGUAUGGUUUGGUAAUGGAACCCUAAAUGGUUUAAAUGGUUUUAGAAUGGUUAAAUUGUAAGGUUUUGGUGGUCAUGGUUGGUCUAAUUAAGCUUCUUUGUGGGGUACAAGGGAAUACCCCAAGUAAACAUGGUAAUGAACAACUUGUGGGGUACAUCAGAUUCCUCCAAGCAAACUUAAUAAUGAAACACUUGUGGGGUACACGGGAUUCCCCAAAGUUAACUUGAUGAUGUAGACUAUGGGCACAUGGGAAUCCCUUUAACUAUAAAGGUUGUAUAAAGACAUUACUUACAAGUUAUAGUUGGUAUGAUGAUACCCUUACUCACAGCCUUGGUUAAUAAUAAUGGUACAAUGGUUUGGUUUGAUGGAAAUGGUUUUAAUUGGGCAAUAAUGGCGGGGUGUGAUAGCUAACUGUAAAGGUGGGAGUUCAAUGGACGAACACUGGAAACUCAUAUUUGCCGACAUGAAGGAUUGGUCAUGGCGACCAUAUAUGAUACUCAUGAGGUUCAUAGGAAUCCUCUAUGUAAACUGUACAUAUGUAUCAUGGAGAGCGAAGGGUACUUGGGAAUCCCCUACUCUUAUGGUAUCUCCAGUUCGUGCGGCUAAAUAUAUCGGGGCCCAUUCAGAGGGUUACACUGGACCCAUAUAGCCCGUGGGUUGUUUUAGGAUGGUUAAGCUACACAUACCCAGGUUAAUGGUCUUUAAUGUUUGCUAAACCCGAUUUCCUUUUCCUACAUGGUUAUAUAUAUAUAUAUAUAUAUAUAUGUAUGUAUGUAUGUAUGUAUGGUUUGUAUACAUAUGGUUAGUUUACUUGGUUUUUGUGGAUGGCAUUAUUUUAUCCUUAUCCUGAGUUUCUUGCCAGCGUUUACCCGCUAACCCAUCCUCGGGGGGCUGUAUCCUCAUGCAAUACAGGAAUUGGCCAUUCUACUCCUCCUGCUUAGUGUUCGACUUUGAGAUCGGCUAUUGGAUUGAAGUGGUGGGCUUCCAUAUUCCGAAUGGCUCCAUUUCUUUCAUGGAUGAUUAUAUAUUCUUUGGUUAUUUUAUGGGUAUUGGUUUUGGCUAUGGUUGGGGGUAUGUUCCAACCAAAUAUUGGUUUUCUUUUGGUUAGAGGCUUUUGUGGAACUACUAUGGGUUGUUAUGGGCGGGAUCGGUAUUGGUGUCAGCCUUAGUAUUGGCAUUAGUAUUGGGGCUUAUACUAGUUGACUAAAUUUCACAUUGUUCCAUCCUUUUAUGUUAUGUUAUUAAACUUGAUUUGGUUAUUUGUUUGGGUGUGGUUUUAUGGUUUGGUUUGGUUAUCGGAUGGGUUUGAACGAUUGGACUUAGUUGGGUCAGUCUUGGUUAAACACCUAUCCCAGAGUCUGUAAUUGGACAAAUACAUUAUUUUGUUAUAUGUUCAAAAUUCAGCCAAAACAUUAUUUUGUUAUAUGUUCAAAAUUCAGCCAACUCAUGGUAAGCGGCUGAAGGUUGGGUUGGGUAACGGGGGUGGUCCCCGAUCCAAGUCGGACUUGGGAUGCCUAUUACGACAAGGCCUUAGGUCUGGUCGGGUCACACCUUAUCUCGAUUAACCUUAUUUCUAAUCUUAUCUUUUCUAAAGUACCCAUACAUCGACCGUAGCAUUCUCAUCUCUGCCACCUUCAUAUUUUAGAUGUGAGACUUCUUAAUAGGCCAACACUCCACCCCUUACAAUAAAGUCAUUCUAAGCAUCAUUCUGUAGAACUUGUAUUUGAGUUUAGGAGGUAUCUUUCUGUCAUACAAGAUUCCAAAAGCGAGUGUUCAUUUCAUCCACCCUACUUUAAUACAAAUAUAAAAGAAAUAUACCUCUAUUCAAUCGACUAUAAAGGUAUAUAAUAACUACCCACAUAUUAAUCAACACUCAAUAAUGCAUAACCCCAAGCUAGGAAAUUAGUUACUCAUAACAAGCAAAAACAGAAAUAUACUUAUAUUCUCAUUAAAUUCCACCAUAGAAUCUAAAAUCCUCAAAGAAAAAUUCCAAAUUCAAAAGAAAAAAUAGUAAUAAACAACUAAAAUCCCAAUUAAUGUCUCAAUUCGAAUCUUUAGCUUCAAGUAUAUGACAAAAUACAUGAUUUCCAUCAGCCAAGAAGACUUACAUAUCUCUAGAAAAAUUGCACCUUAGAUUUACAAAAAUUUCCACCACAUUCAAUUAGGUUGUAGUGAAAUCGAUCUCCAAUCACAUCGAUGAUAUGCCAAAUUAUCUCAAGGCUGCCUGAAGUGUUUAUGCACUAAUCUCUAUGGGUUGGCAUCUGUCUUAUUUGGUGAUGAGACUUGGCUUUUGUCGUUCUAUUUGAUGACGCGUUGAAAUGUACUUCUCAUCACUAUUUUAUCCAACUUUAGACCUGAACUAAUCUAUUACAUUUGGCAAUGGGUUGUUGCUUUUAGCAAUGCACAUAUCAUUUUGGUAAUGCGCCAAUUCUCCUAGGCGAUGCUCUUUUGCAUUUUUGGCUCCAAUCUUCCAUCUUUUUGCUUCUUUAUCUACUUCUUGGACUUAACCCUGGAACUAAACCAAAAAAACAUUAAAAUGUAGUCAAAUUAGCAUUGAGUAAUGAUUUCUUUCUAUUUUAGAUGAAACAAGUCACAAUUUGUCGACUCAUCAACAUCCCCAACUUUAAUCUUUGCUUAUCCUCAAUUAGAUCAAUGCAUACACAAUAAAAUCAACAAUGUAUACAAAUGGUACUGAUAAGGAAAUUAGGCACGUGCCUUUUUUCGUGAAAACAUUUUUCCCCAUUGAUUUUGAAAACAAUGGCAGAAGUAUUACCUAUUAGAUAUUCACAUUGUGAAUGAAGAGACUUAAAUAUUGAAAUAAAAUUACCAUACCUCACACAUACUCACAGACUCAAACCAAGAUCAAAGAGUGAACAAGUAAUGCAAUCAAGUGCCCUCACACAAAGAAGUCCUAUCUUACAAUAGCAAAUCAUCAUUUAAGCAAAGGACUAUCAUGAAUCUCUCAUGCUCCAAAAGAUAAUCAUACAUACGAGAACCAUGCCAUAGGCUUCCCCAUAAGUUCUAUUCCACCACAAACAAGCUUUCUACUUUAGAGAUUAUAAAGGUCUUGAUUUGGAUUGUAAUUUAUGUCUUGAUUUGGCUUGUAACUUAGGCAUCAAGUAAGGUAGGAAAGGUUAAGGUUAUAGUGACUCUACCUUCUCGAACCAUCCAAAGAGACCUCAGUCAUACUUAUUUCCCAAAACAUACUCUUCAAAUCUAUCCAAGGACCAAUUCUCAAGUAUUUUCAUGCUAUUUUCCCCUUCUAUCCUUUCAACCUUAAAAUCCUCAUAUUAACACAAUUUACCCUCUUUUAAAAAUCUUUUUUAAGUUUCCCCUUCUUUUUUUACUAUUCACAAUAAAUACUAGGGUACUUAAAUGGGAAGUAAAUGUAUUGGUCCUUAAAUCCAAGAAUUGUCUAUCAUAAGUCUCACCUGGGAUCUCCACCACCCUAAUUUAGGUUUUUGACCUAACUUGGUUCCUGAUCUUACCUAUAUCUUUAAGAAGGGUUAAGAUGAGACUUUGAAAAAUGGGUUUCACCUUAUAAUGAGGUUAUCCAAGGAAAAGGUUUCCAAAGCUAUAAAUCGGGACAAAAUUGGUCACUCAACUCACAAUGAGGUAGCUAUUUUAGUCAAAUUGGAGGUUCACUCUCAAUACAUGGCCUAAGAUCACUUCUUCAACAUUGCACAUGCUUAGCUUCAGAAUUAGAGAAAUCAUCUGGUUAUAAGUGGACACAAUGAGAAAUAUCAAACUGAGUUCUCAAAAAACAUGGCACUCAAUCGCAAACCUGAAUCAUUUUUCCUCAAAUGAUGUACCAUAUUCAUGGCACAUGUCAAGAAAGAUACUCAAGUAGUCAACACAAGAUGUGUGUGUUUACAAAGAUAAGUGCCUACUUAGUUCAACUAAACCAAGGAAAAGUUUUAAAAAGAGGCACAUUUUGAGAAAUCCUUUUAAAGAGUUGAGCAUAUGAACAUUUCCAAGGGUACUAUUUGAGUCAAAGUAUUCUAUUGGUAGCAUACUUUUCUCGUAAGUACGCAUGCUAAACAGAAAUUUUUUUGCAACUAAUUACGAGCUAUAAGCUAAAAAUAAAAAAGUAAAAAAUAAAAAAUAAAGCAUCACGCCCCACACAUUGAAUAUUACAAACCAAAUGAAAUAUCAAAAAUAAUAUCCAAAUCACAGUUAUUACCACACACCAAAAUAAAUAUCUAUAAAUAUCCCAAAUAUUGUAUUAGAAGAACCAAUCAUCAAAGGGAAAAUAUUGCAGAGCAAAAAUAAACACCCCACCUCCAACUAAAAACUAUGAAUUAUCUCAAUGAAAUAGCACUAAAUAAGUACACGAGAAUAAGAGUAAGGGUCCUCCUAAAACAUGGCUAAGCCUGCGACGGUGACUGACUCACCAAAGUGUCCACUAUUUGGUCGUUAGUGAUGGGCUUUGCUCUAAGUUUCUAUAGGGGUGGAUCUGGUAAGGAUCCUCGAUAUCUGUAGUACUAUCUAAACUAAAGGUCCCAAUAUGUAUCAUCUCAUGAAUUGACCUCUCUAAUGCAACAGUAAGUAUACCAUCCUUGGUCUCCUGCCUAUCUGUUUGCUCAUCAGCCUAUGUCUCAACCUGAGACUUGUCCUGUAUAUAAAUAUGGCACUGAUCCUCAAAGAAUCCCUCAAUAUCUACAUCAUCAACAUCCCGAUAUAAAGCACAGUCAUUUUCAUCUACCUCCUACUCCUCAGUUAUUUGUUUAUCAUCACAAACAGAUGCAGGAGCUGGAGUCAGUGACUUAGAUGUAGCUCCUUAUAAAUGUCUUAAAUUUAGGAACAGAGAUCAUCAACAUGCUUCUAAGGGAAGCAUCAGACUGCUGAGGAGCACUUAGAUCAUCUAAUCUUUAGUUAAAAAGCCACAGGGUCUUCCGAAUACCACAUAGCUCAUCUUGUACUGGAUCCAUGGCGGUUUUCACCACAGAACUAAUCAUUCCAUGUAUCUCUCUCUCUAAAGUAGCUGACCUUGUAUUACAUAAAUAAGCUAACUUCCUCAUCCAAAUAAUGUUUUUUUGAGUCAAUGAGGCUCUCGGAGAGACUAAAAUAGUAGAAGGUUAAGGACUAGGGACACUAGCGUGAGGCACUAUGAUGAUGUACCUAAUGAUAGAACAAGUAGAGAAGAAGCAAUAACUGAACAAAAAAGGGUAGAAGUUGUAGUAGUAUUAGGAGUGGGCUAGUUGACACCACUAUCAAAAGAACCAAAGUCAAUUUCUAGGAAAUCAUCCACUCGAGAUUUUUUCUUCUUUACUUCCUAAACAAGCUCAAGUCUAGAAGUGUCCACUGUAAAGGUAAGGGUAUACUCAAAAUCCUUUUUAAAAUUAAACAAAACCUUGGUACGAUAAUCAACUCAGUGACGAAACAUGAGAAUGCAAGGAAUGUUUACUUUUGUUGGUCUUGGUGAGCAAUUUUUGGGGCAAUGCUCAUAGAAAUAUUGAGCCUUUCCUUAGUAAUUAUUAAGCCUACCAGUACUGAGGAUAAAUAAGGAUUUAUUAGUUUUUCAACAUUAACAAGUUUCUACACACAAAGCACAAGCAAUAUCGAGUUUCCAAAUGAAUAUUUAUCUUUUGGAUUUAAACCUCUGGUGCAAGCCAUGGAGGAGUGAUAUCACUGAGCGAUGGGGAUAACCAACCCUAAAGAUCUUCAAAUUCUGUCAAGUUUGAGUAGCAAAGUAAUGAUGGGAGUCAAGUCCAGCUCUACACAUCGCAUUAAUUAUAGCCCCAUCAUGCUUAAAAUUGGCACCUCAAACCUUCACCAUAUCAUAAUUCUCUUAAGGUUUCCCCUUUUUCUCUUAUUGGAAAAUAACUCUCCAUAAGCUAUAUAAAACUCUUAUACCUAAGUCUAGACAUAUAUCUUCAAUGGUUUAGUGAACUGCUGGAAAUUAUGGUACCUCAAUGUUGCCAACACCCUUGGAUGCUUUCCUUCUAAUCCAUUCAGACUUAGUCAUUGUUCCUCAAUGAUGGUGUAUUGGCUGGGAACCAUUAGACGAUAUACAAUAAGAUACCCUUAUGUGGCUAUGGCGGAUGUUGUUCUACCCUUUUCUUAUUUGCUAGCCUCGGGAGUAUGCAGUGGCUCAUGAAUGGGAGUAGUAUCCCCUUUGUCCGAGGAAUCAAUGUUGCACCUCUCAGAGUUUGAGCUAUGCUCUGAGAUUUCUUCUUCAAUUACUAGUAUAUUAGGCCUUAUUUCCUUAAUCCUUUAUAUUUUAUACACCUUGUAUGACCUAUACCCUUCCUUAAUUGUCACCCUCUUUACAAGUUUAGAGGUAGGGGAAGAAGAUCUAGCAGGUUUCCUUACAACAUGUUUCUUCUAGUCAUAUCUUCACAUAAGAGUAGCAAUGGGCUCAACCAAAAUAAGCAAACCUAAAACACAUCAAUUUCCCAUAUUUGCAUCACUAAACUAAUUGAUCCAUCACCAAAUAAUUUACCAAUGUGUAUUGGUCAUCGCCAAAUAAGACAAAAAAAGAGGUACGGAUAGUGAGGGAAAGUGUCAAAUUGGUGAUAUAUUAAUGAGUUCCACGAUACUCUCAGUGCAUCACUGAAUUGCAUCAGCAUCGUUGAAAUUUCACUUGUCUGCGUAUUAUGACAAUUCUGCGACACAGAGAGUGCUUUGGCGUUAUGCCACAUAGUUUGGUACAUCACUAAAGUGCUCAACCCAUCACUGUAUGUCAUCAUCACUAAGAUGAACUUCAUAAUUUUGGGCCAUUUGAAUGGUGAUUUUUCAAUUCCAAUAUCCAUGGGUACUCAGACUUCCCUAAACCUUAAUAUUUAAACCACAAAUACAAUUAUUUUGCCCUUAAGAAAGCCAUCACUCAAGCUAUCUUUGGGGAAAAUCAGUUGAUUUAAAGCACAACCCAUUUAAAUCUAACCAUAUUUGACACCUAAUUCCACAACAAGUAAACCACAAUGCAAACAUGAAAAAACUUAAGCAUUUAGAAACCAACUUCUAACAAUUAAGUUCAAUUAACCACAAUUGUUAAUCCCUAUAUUCAAACUCAAGCAAGAACAACUUCGACUAGACAACACCAAUAUACUCAACCAUAGAUAUAACAAUUCAUCAACUAAACAUGAGUAGCAUUGUUAUGUAAUAGAGUUUAAACUAGAAUCAAUUCUAACCUUUGAAGUUUAGGAAGAAAUCUACAAGAAAGAUGAAAUAUUAAUGUUACAUGUAAUUAUAAGGUUUGUACUCAUACGAUGAUGAUGGUGAUUUAUGAGAAAGAUGUGACUAUGUUCAUAUGUGUAUUUGUGUAUAUGUCUACUAUAGAAAGUGAAAGAUAAGAUGGAAAGGGGAUAUGGGUAUAUAUUUAAAUAAUACUAAGAAUCAUAAGCAAAUGAAAGGUCAAGGUUCAUGCCCUGGACAAAUCAUCGAUGAUAUGCUAAUAUGCUCCCUCAUCUCCCAAAGUUAACAGUUUGUGGCUUUGGAUUCACCCAAAUGGUGUCAUUAAAAAUGCAUUGAUGGUGUCAACGCAUCGCCAAAGCCUCCUUACUGGAGAUUUGGGCAUGAUCUCCCAAAUUUUUUUUCUCCAACUAGUGUGAUGUCAUGUUUUCCACAUUCUAACUCCAUCACAUACCUACACAAAUCAACACACAUUAUUCAAACAAAAAAUAAACUUGGGCGGCCUCCUAAAAAGUACCUUGUUAUCAUCAUGGCACGGUGUUGUUCUUCAUUGAUAUUGUAUCAUCAAGGUAUGGAACCUCCAAGAAAUUGGCUUCUGGUGAUAUCCCAAGGUAAUGUUUAACACAUUAGAUAUUCAACCUAAAUCAAUAUCCCUUGUCAUUCUCUAAUUCUAUAGAUCCACUGGGAUAAUAUCUUACCACCUUGAAGGGGCCUGACCAUCUAGUUUUGAGCUUGCAUAAAAAUAACUUGAACCUUUAUUUAAACACGAGGAUGUGGUCACCACUCUUUUACUCUAGUUUUAGAAUUUUGGCAUCAUUCUAUCUCUUCAUAUGCUCCUUGUAGAGGGUUGAACUCUCAUAAGCUUUCAAACAAAAUUCACUAAUUUCUUAAAGUUAUUCCACCCUUGAUAGUGGCAUCCUCCCAAUUCAUAUUCAACUUGCGUAAGGCCCACAAUGGCUUAUGUUCUAGUUGAAUGAGGAGGUAAAAAGCCUUGUAAAACACCAAUUUAUAUGGUGAUAUACCAAUGGGAGUUUUAAAUAUGGUUUGAUGGGGCCAUAUAGCAUCAUUAAAUCUUUUGUCCUAAUCCAUACUACUAGAACUCAUGGUUUAUGCCCAAAUACAUUGUCUUAUCUCAUGGAUGGACACUUUUGCUAACCUAUUAGUGAAGCCACCUUAUGUUUCACUCCAUAUAUAUCAAGCAAAUACUCAAAUGACUAGCCACCAAAAUGAGAACCUACAUCACUUAUAAUAGCACGAGAAGUCCUAAACUAGGUAAAAAUAAACCUCUUCAAGAAUUGAGUAACAUUUCUUGCUUCAUGAUUUUGCAACUCAACCCAUUCAAAAACAUAAUCAGAUACUACCAAGAUAUAGGGAUUCCCAUAUAAGCUAACAAGUGGUUACAUGAAGUCUAAACCCUAUAAAUCAAAUAAAUUCACAUCCACACUCGAUCAUAAGGGAAUUUUAUGUCGUCUUGAGAUUUCACCUUGCCUUUGGUAUUGUUAACAAGCCAGUACUAACUUAUGGGCAUCAUCAUACAAAGUAGGCUAGUAAAAUCUACAUUGGAGGAAUUUUAUAGAUGUUCGUAUACCGUUGUAAUGACCACCAACUAGUAAUGAGUGGCAUGCCUCUAGAAUAUGCCUCAUCUCAUUUUCCAUAACACAAUGGUGUAUCACUCCAUCUGCACACUCCCUAAAAAGAUAGGGUUCAUCAUAAUAAUACCUCUUCACAUCAUAGAGGGAAAACUUCUUUUGAUAAUGGUUCAAAUCAUCGAAGAGCAACCCACUCACAACAUAAUUUGCAAGAGAGACAUACAAUGAUAGAUACUCUUCUUUAGAGCCAUAACAAGCUCAUCGAGGAAUGUGUCUUCACUUUAAAUCUCACCCUCUUCUCUUUGUUUGACUCAAGGGAUUAUAAGUGGUCUACUACUUGGUUUUCAUAUCCUUCCCAAUCCUUUAUUUGAAAUCAAAAUCUAGAAGUUGUUAGAUCUACCUAAUCAACUGAGGUUUGGCCUCCUUUUUAGAUAUAAAAUAUAGAAGAUCUACAUGGUUGUAUGCAUGAUAACCUUCACUCCCAACAAAUAUGAAUAAAAUUUUUCAAAAGUAUAGACUAUGACAAGCAAUGCUUUCUCCAUAAUAGCAUAAUUUAUUGUGCACUAUUCAAGGUCUUGCUAGCAUAACAUAUUGGAUGGAAAAUCUUGUCUUUCCUUUGUCCUAAUACUUAUUCCAAUGCCAAGCCACUUGUGUCACACAUCAAUUCAAAUGGAAGUUCUGAAUUUGGGGCCACAACAAUCUGAGUCAACACAACUUUUACCUUGAGGAAAUGGAACAUACUCACACAAUCACCAUCAAAGACAAAUUUCACUUCUCUUUAAAGGAGUUUGCACAUUUGAUAUCAAUCUUUGAGAAAUCUUUGAAAGAACCUGACAUUCCCAAGAAAAUUUUUAACAUAUUUCAUAAAUAUUGGAAGGGGUAUCUUGGAAAUAAAUUUGACUUUUUCUUGACAACUUGAAUACCUUGACCCAAAAUUUUAUGACUAAGCACAAUACCCUCUUUUACCAUAAAAUGGCAUUUCUCCCAGUUCAACACAAGAUUUGUUUCACCACAUCAUUCAGUACCUUACUCAAGUGUUUGAGAUACAAUUCUAAUGAGUCACCAACGAUGGAGAAAUCAUCCAUAAAUACCUCCAUAGUAUCCUUCACCAUAUUCAAAAAUAUAGAGAGCAUGCACUUUUAAAACAUAGCGGGUGCAUUGCAUAACCCAAAGGGUAUGCAUUUGAAGACAAAUGUUCCAUAUGGAUUUGUGAAUAUGUUUUUAUCUUGAUUCUUAGGUUCAAUAAAUAUUUUUUUAUAGAUGGAGUACCCAUCCAAGAAAUAAUACCAACCCUACCCUACCAAAUGAUCAAGAUUUGAUCCAUAAAUGGCAUGGGUAAGUGAUCCUUCUCCAUCUAAGAGUUCAAUUUAUUGUAUUCCAUACAUAGACUCCAACCUAUAACCGGUCUCAUGGGGAUAAGCUCAUUAUUUUCAUUAGUAACCACCGUGAUUCCUUUUUGGGGGGAUGCAUUGAACUGAGCUUACCUAUGUGUUAUCUGCAAUGGGAUAUAUGACACCCACAUCUAACUACUUGAUUAUUUAAUUUUUUACUAACUCUUGUAUUGGAAGAUUUAGACAUCAUUGGUUGUCAAUAGUUGAUAUAAAAUUAUCUCCAAAUUUAUAUUGUGAGUACAAAUGCGAGACCAAUCUCAAUUAUAUCUACAAUAGUCCAACCGUUGGGCCGAUUAAAAUUUUUCACUACCGCUUCAGAGCUUCCACUUAUCAUAGCAAUAAAUCUCUUGCAAAAAUAAUUAUAAGGUAUUACUUUCCCCUAAUAAGACAUAACAAAGGUAUGGGAGCAAUGACUUAAGGUCAAGUUGAGGAGGUUCUAUAAUUGAGGGCUUGGCAGGGGGCUUUCUCAAUUUAUUAAAUCAAGUUCCAACUUGCAAGGAUUUUUAGUGUAAGUGCCAAGACCUACCAUCCCAAAGUUCCACAAAACUCUAGGAAAUGGCUCACUAAUAAGAUCUAUUUUCAUACCAUUGUCCACUUCAUUAUCAAUCAUGUCUAUCAUGGAAAUGACUUGUAAGUUCUUUAAUUACCUCAUGGACACACACACAUAAAAUUACACCUCUUUGUUACUCACUCAAAAUUUUAUCUCACCAUAAUCCAUAUCUAAUAAGGCUUGAUCGACGACAAAGAACAACCUAUGGAGAAUAAUAGGGACUUCGUGGUCAAUUUCAUAAUCCAAAAUCACUAAGUCAAUCGUAAAAAUAAAUUGAUCCAUUUUCACAUGAACAUCAUACAAAAAUCCCAUGAUCUUCUUUAUGGAAUGAUCCGCUAUCAAAAUUCUCAUGGUAGUGGGAUUGGGAUCUCCCAAGCCUAGCUUUCAAAACAUGGCCAAUGGAACUAGAUUGAUACUAGUCCCACGAUCACAUAAAGAUCUUCCAAAUUGGUAUACCCCUGAUUGUACAUGAAAUGGUCAAUACUCCCAAAUCUUAUUUUUUCACAACCAUUGUGUUGGCAUUAUCACACUACAAUUCUAUGACACCUCAAUUGUUUCAAAAUCCAUGGUCUUUUCUUUGUCACUAAGUCUUUUAUGAACUUACCAUACCCAAACAUUUCUUAUAAAUCUUUUAGCAAAAGGAUGUUCACCGAUAGGUUGCUAAAUUUUGAUAGGAACUUCUUGAAUUUAGUGUCAUAAUCCUUAUUAAGUCUUUGAGAAAAUGGUGGAGGUCUUUUGAUUUAUGUCCUUAAAAAAACUAGACUUUCAUUCGGUGUUGAGAUAUCAUCGUCAUCCACUUGUGGUAUCUCUUCUGUUUCAACCUUAUCCUCCCCAAUUCUUGGAUUCUCAAUACUUUGCUCAUUUGAACUAUAGACUUUAUCGUUGGACAUAUCAAGCCACUUUUUCUUUCUGCUAGCUUGUUUCUUAACCCUCCUCUAAUCAAGGUCAUUAGCAAGAUUUAAAAUAUCAUCAUCGAGAUUCCUACCUCUCCUAAUGACAAUUUGCAAGAUAUGAUCAUCAUUCUUUGAAUUUUCCACAGUAUUACUAGGUAAACCACCCUUUUGCCUUACAAAUAAGCUGAGAUUUGGCCCAAUGUUUCAACUUUCUUAAUAGAGGUCAAAUAUGAGGUGACCAUUUAAUUGAGUUGCAAAAAUGUUCUCUUCUUCUAUCUUAACAUUUUGUCACUUCCCUCAAUUCCCAAAAGGAUACGAGUAAACACAUUUUCUUUCUUAUAAUUUUCCAGGUCGAUAAUGGUAGACUCUUUGCCUUUUUAGCUAUUGUGAAAAAGAAUAUAUCUAUCAUGGACAUGUUCUUUGUCUCUCUAAUUUCAAUCUUUAGCUUUUUCCUUAUCCCUCUAAUCCUUAUCAUAAUAUCGUUUUCUCCAAUCACAGUCCUUCCAAUCAGAAUAUCUUUUCUUCCAACCUUGAUUCUCACUUUGCCUUUGUAGGUAGUUGAGAACCCCCAAACCCCACCCAUUUUAUUGAUAAGUACCAAAUCUAUCAUUAAGAGACUCUACAUUAUCAUCUUUAUAUGUUUUCUUUCCCUUGGAAACUAUGGUAGUCACUUCAAUUGGAGUUGACCCUAUGACAUAUUUUGUGAAAAGAUCUAACUGUGUCAUCACCUUAACCAUAUUUUCAUCUCUGUCCUUAUUUUUCUUUCAUUUUUCUUGGAUCACAAAAGAUGUAGAGGGAUCCCAAAUGGCUGCCUUGUUAUAUCUUGAAUGUCAUGCUCUACUUUGCUUUGUCAUUUGGUCUAACAACCCUAAAGAAACUUUAAAUGUUUGUUUGAUUAUAGAUCCUUUAGCCAUGUUAUUUGCCACUAUCUUAUUUCAUUAGUUUAAUGCUCUAUAGAAGAUUUGGUAGAGUAUUUUAUCAGGUGCUUGAUGGUUUGGACAUUUUAGCAACUUCUUAUUAAAUGUUAACUAUGCUUUAUGCAAUGGUUCACCACUCAAUUAUUAAAAGUUUAUGAUUUCAUCCCUCAAUUGGAGCAUGCGGUAUAGUGAAAAGAAUUGAUCUAGAAAAGCAUUUGUCAACUUAACCCAUGAUAUUAUAGAUCCCACAGUAAUUAAUGCAACCACAACACCUCAUCACCUAUCAAUAAAAAUAGAACGAGCCUCAACUGAAUGUACUUUUAUGAUACAUAAGUAAUGUCGAAUGGGAGGAAAACAUUAAUAAAUUUCUUCAAAUAAAGUCUUGCAUCUUCGUGAGCUUGACAACUACACAGAUCCUUCAUUUGGAGUUAAUGAAGCAUUACACUAGUGAUAUCACCCAAAACAACACUCCUCUCAGAAGUAUAAUGCGUUCGAUUACAAAUAUAAUAACCCAACUAGGUUGGGGUCGAUCCCACAGGGAAAAUUUGAAUAGUUCAUAGGCUUGAUGUAAUCCACAAGAAGUAUAGAAAAGCAAAUGGGGGAUUUGUAGUAUCAAUUAUAAGUAGUAACCGAAUCUUGAGUGCUUUAGAGUUGUAAUCCAUAAGAGACUAACACUAGGUUUGUAUUCCCCCUAGAAUAUCAACUACGUAAAUUUCUCAUGAUCAACCCAACUGUUCUAUUUUUCUGUAUGCAAAGUCUACAACAUAGGAACUGUUGAGUAAGCUAGAAGAUAAAUUUCACCCUUUACCAAGUAAUUCUCAGGGUGUCUCCUUGUUGCCCCUUGCUAAGACCUUAGUUCACUCAUCUGGGUGGGAUCGAGUGAUUAGAUUAUAUAGUAGGAACUAAAAGGUGGAGAUGACUCCCAAAUCACUGUCCUAAUCUUUUUUCCCAAUCACAAGCUCCUUGGUAGAGAUGGAUACGAAUACAGUCUAUCUUAAGGUACUGCAUAUACUUGAGAUUAACUAUUAUAAAAAAGAUUAAGAUACAUACAGAAAUCCUAGAACAAUUAAAUCUCAACUUUCUUUACAUAGCUAAUCUGUUAGGGUUCCCAUAACCCUAGUCGAGGAGAUUAGUCACUCGUGGUUGUGCAAGAAACAAUGAUUGUCAAUGAAGAACACAUAAAAUCAAUUGAACAAGAAUAAGAUGAUUAAACUCCAAAGUCUUUAAUUUAAUAAACCCUAAAAUCUCAAGAACAAUUGUGAAAGUAUUGUAAUAAUAUGUAAAAGAACGUCCAAGAAAGUAACCUAAUAAAUGAUAAACCCUAGGGUAUUUUUAGUAUCUCAAAAUAACCUUAAAAUUCUAAUAAAAACAUGAAAGGUAAAGCUAAGUAUCAAGUUAGUACGACUCGGUGUUCACUUGUAUUGGCAUCAUAAGAGUCAUACCCUACCUUUUCAUAUUCAUUCCAGUGUCUGAUCUCCCACAGUUUCAACUUUCUAUUCAGUAUACGACUUCUUCUUACAAGUCGUACCUGAGUGUACAACUUGUGUCCCUCAUCAAUAUCCACCUAGGACUUUUGUCCUUUCUAAUCUUGAACACUGGUUUGUAUACGAUAUCCCUAUACGAUUUAUAUUCAAACUUCUGACUCGUAUACUUCUGACACUUCAAUCUUUGAACAGUAGCUUAGGUUAUGUUAUGCUUACGACUUCUCUGUACGUCUUAUAUCCCUAAUGUAUGGAUCGUAUGGAUGAGUCAUAUCUUUUCUUGGUUGGGUCUUUGAUUAUGGAAUGCUUAUGUUUAGGUGACACAACUCGUAUACUCAUCUUACGACUCGUAUACAUGAAUCGUAUCUUACACUCACUUGGCAUUUGGUCCUAGUGUUUACUUCUAGUAUGGGUACGAUUCCUCCUACGAGUAGUGUGUUGAGUAUACGACUCAUGAGAUAACUCAUAUCUUGAUCAGUUUUUGGGUUUUUUAGGUCUUUUUCUUAUCUUUCUAUUCAAACACUGUUGUAGACCUAUUUUACCUACAAUAUACACCAAAGGUCAUCAUAUCUAAAAAAACACCCUAAGUUCAUGCAGAAAUUUAUGAUUUUAAGCAUCGAAAGUGUCGUGUUUCCAUGCCAUAUCAACACCUUCAAUUUAAACUUUGCAUGUCCUCAAGCAAACAAAACCAAAUAAAUAUUUUCUAGUACUGAGAUGAUGCUUAAAUAGGAAGUUCUCAAGAAACCCAUGGCAGUGAUUUUGAACUUAAUUUCAAUCUUGUUGUUCUCCCCUUUAAUUCUAACUUUCAAAACACAGCUGCUUAUAACAAUUUAGCACAUAUAGAAGCAUUAGGGAAUCCGAUGAUGACAUUACAUUAGCAAUAGACACUUGGGCAUAGACACAGAUUACAUUUAUCAAACAUUCUAUCAACCUAGUAGUAUAACCCAAGUGUGCUUACAGUUAAAGAAAUCUCAUUCACUCUCCUUUGGACAAAUCAAUCUAUUCAAUGAUAUAACAAACAACUCUCUCACUCAUAAAGAAGUACCACCGAUGCAUACAAAAUACCAUAGGCUUGCCAUUAUGCUUUUUUCCUAAGUUUUCAGACUAUCAUGAUAGAAUCACUAUAGGACUUUGUUUGACUUGUAAUGUAGGCUUGGGGGCUAGUAUGACACGUAUGGACAUUUAAAGUGACUAACCCUCCUUGGUACUACACUAACUUAUAGGGUCUGCACUUAACCAAUUUUUCACUUUAUUUGUUUCCAUCCGUAUUUCUCCCUUUUUAUUUUAAAGCAUAUUUAGGUUGGUUGUGGUCUUCGAUUCUUUCUUUUUUUUCUGUUUUUCUACCACACCUAGCCUUACUUUAUUUUCUCUUAAUUUACCCUUCUUUAUACUCAUUGCACAUCACACACCCCUAUGAUACCUACCCUCAACUUAGGCGAUUUGCCUGAGUUGAAGUGCACCAUGUCUAAAGAGGACCAGGGGUAAAAUAGGUUCAUUGUAGUACAAAUGGGAAAGUGAUAGGUGUAACAAUAAAAAUAGGCAUAUAGGCUCAAAAUUGGGAGCAAAGGAUAUCAUUCACUCAUGGAAGGACAAUUUGGCUAAAAGUGAACUAAUAUCAAAAAUGGCCUAUGAUCUUCUCCUACCUAACUAUUCUAGAACUAGGUAAAAGCAAUCGGGCAAGUUCUAUAUUCCAACACACCGGGAACUCAGUAUAUCUCACACGCACUUGCACAGGGCUAUAUUACUAAGUACUAGUUAUCCAACUAUGAAACUAUUUUGUCCCUCACUAUUCUAUCCCUAAUCAUAAUGCCAUUUUCAGAUUCACAACAUUCUCACACAAGUAUACCAAUCAUGCAAUCAAACACAAAAACUUUCUGAGGGAACACCUUUUCAACACAAUUUUCAUUAAAACAUAAAAUCUAGCAUAAUAUCCAUAAGUCAAAUCACCCUCAUCAAAAAAAUAAAAAUAGAAUUUUCAUUACAAAUCAAAAUUAUCAAGAAAAAUAAUCAAUCCACUGCCAUAGGCACGCUAAUCUACUCCCUAUCUCAGCAGUCUACGUCAAGACUGUAAGUCAUAACAGACUUUCAGUCUUAGCUACUUAUACUUUAUAGCUACUCCCAGAUGUUUUAGAAUAACCCCCAUCCCCAACUAAAAAUUGCUAUACUGUCCCCAGUGCUACAACAAGAAAAACAGAGUAAGGAUAAGGGUCAUACCUAGGCUCUCAAGGUGCGAGUGCAUCAUCAGUCGUACAUGGGCCUGCAGAUCAGGUCCCGCUCCCAUCAGCUAUCAUCCCAUCAAUCGGGAUCGAAUCAACCAUAGACAAGGGCAUAACAUCAACCCAUAAAGUAUCAACAACCUGAUCUCUCGAUCUAUUAGCUCCAGCAGCUAUCUCACAGACCCUGGUUUCCCAGUCUCGCUUAUCCUGAUUACUACCCGCUCUGGCUCUCUUUCAGUUUCUCACUUUUUUUAAUUUUUCUCUUUCUCUCUCUUUUUUCUUCUUUGGUAUCCUCAAAUUGAAUAUCUGUCGGGUCUUCCCAAAUAUUAGGAACAUGGAUAGUAGGAAUCACAAUCUUAAUGACAGGCUCAGCAAACACUGGUCUCUCAUAAAGCUCCAAGACCAUUUUCUUGAUCUCCACAACUACAAUUCAGAUAUCAACAACAUUAGACGUCUUUCCUCUGCUUAACUUUUGAGUAAUCCUCGACUCAAAAUUUUCUAGGCACCCUUGAACUCUCCUAUCCUGCACCUCAGGCCUCCUAUCAAGCCAAUGUCUCACUCCUUCUUCCAUAUGACGUACCUUUACAUUAAGCGUAGUUAACUGGGUUACAACCUCGGUCCAUAUAGCCUGGAAGAUCAUUAUGAUACGUGGAGGCAUACCUUAUGGUGUAGGUGACACUAACUGGACUGGUGAUGGGUCACUAAAAGUACCUGCUUCAUUUGUAUGUGUUCUCUCUAUCUAUGCUCCUGCCUUAGUAGACUCAGCUAUAGCAGGGGAGUCUUUCUAAUCAUCUUGCAGGAACAAUCCCACCAUAACCUCUACUACCUGUCUCAUAGGUCGGGCCAAAGGUUUGGCAGCAUCUCUAAUCAAACCAUUAUCAAACUUUCUUUGUGCCUCUAUCAACUCAUCAAUCCCAGGGAGUUCUAGUACUCCCGCAGCAAGCAAAAUCUGAGUAAUCAUAUUAGGGUUGACUAGCAAUGCCUUUUUAUACCAUACUACCCUAUCUCGCAGUUCCCGAGAUAAAAACUCACCAACACCAAACUCAUAACUUGCUAUGAAACUGGCUAUCAUGGUUACUCGUACUAGGCUCAAUACGUCAUCUCGUAUAGUAGGGCACAGCCUGUGCCGAGCCAAUGUCCACCAUGCUUUUUCCUCAUAGUUGAAGGUACUCUUCUUAAUCUUCUAGGAGACCACCCCGGGGCCUCUCACUACCCAGAUAUCAUUUUCUCUAUGUGUAGCAAUGCAUUCUGUAAUUUAUCUAAGCAUCACCAUCUUAUCAUCAUAACCCAAUGAUCUCUGUGUAACUUUUCUCAUCUCCGCUAUCCUGUAUCCAUCUCUUCUGUGUUGACCAGAGUCUGGUACUCUGGUCUAUAUAAAAAUCUCCUAAUGGUACAGGGAAAGAUGUUUACCCAAACACCACAAAUCAUUAGUGACUCAAUCAGAUCACCACCCUUCCACAAUUGACCUUGUAGAUAUUGCCUAUGAAGUUCUACUUUGUAUGCGGCAUAAAAUUUAUGGACCUGUACUUCACUAUCUUUUCCCGGUGCCCGUAUCAUCCAAUCAAAACCAUAAUAAUCUAAAGCGCUUCUCAAAUCCAGGAAAUUCUAACAUCCCUGUGGUGGUCAUUCUUCUCUCUGAAUAUAGCACCUUUUUAUCAUUCCACAUGGAAGACUGAACAACCCACUGUUGAAUGUAUCCUGUAUUUUGGGUACCCCCAUCAUUCAAUGAUAGGCAUCGAGGCAGUGGUAAGUACUAGUGGUGGGUCUUGUUGGGCUAUUGGUGGCACUUCAUUCACAUCUCCCACAUCUUUAGCAUGCUCAAAAUUUACCUCUUCCGAAUUGGACUCAGCCUCAUAAUCACUAUCAUCUUCAUCAUUAACAUUAUCAUCAUCGGAAGGUCUUUGUAGUAUAGUGUUGAGUAUUCCUACCUAUCACAUGGGUAACCCGAGUUCGAUCCCUGAAAAUGGCACCAAAAUUCAAUGUGACCCAAAACUACACUCCUCUCAGAAGUAUAAUAUGGUCGAUUGCAAAUAUAAUAACCCAACUAAGUUAGGGUCGAUUCUACAGGGAAAACGUGAAUAGUUGCUUGGCUUAAUGUAAUCCACGAGCAGUACAGGAAAGUAAAUGGUGGGGUUUAUAGUAUCAAUUAUAAGUAGUAACCAACUAUUGAGUGUUUUUGAGUUAUAAUUAAUAAGAGAUGAACACUAGGUCUGUGCUCCUCCUGGCUUCUCAGCUCCAUAAAUUUCUCGUGAUCAACCCAAUUGUUGUUUUAUUCUGCAGGCAAAGUCUAAAAGAUAGGUAUUAUCAACUGCUGGGUAAGAUAGUAGAUAAAUUUCACCCUUUACUGGGUAAGUCUCAGGGUGUAGCCUUGUUGCCCUUUUAAGACCUCAGUUCAAUUAUUUGGGUAGGAUUGAGUGAUUAGAUUAGAUAGCGGGAACUAAAAGGUGGAGAUGAAUCCAAAAUCACUAUCCUAAUAUUGUUUUCCCAAUCACAAGAUCCUUGGUAGGAAUGGAUGCAAAUACAGGCUAUCUUAAGGUACUGCAGAUACUUGAGAUUAAUUAUUAUGAAUAAGAUUAUGAUACAUGAAGAAACCCUAGAACAAUUGAAUCUCGUACUUUCUCUACCUAGCUAAUUCUCCAGGGUUCCCACAACCUUUGUCAAGGAGAUUAGCGACUCAUGUUUAUACAAAAAUCCAUGAUUAUCAAUGAAGAACACAUAAAAUUAAUUGCACAAGAAUAAGAUGAUUUAACUCCAAAGUCAUUAAUUGAAUAAACCAUAAAAUCUUAAGAACAGUUUGAAAGUAUUGUAAUAAUAUGUAAAAGAAUGGAAAAGAAUAUCCAAGAGUGUAACCUAAUAAAAUAUAAACCCUAGAGUAUUUAUAUUAUCUCAAAAUAACCUUAAAUCCUAAUAAAAAUAGAAAAGUUAAAGUUAAGUCGGCAUUCGAUAUGACUCUGUCUUUACUCGUAUCGGCAUCAUACAAGUCUACCCUGCCUUGUCAUAUCUAUUCCAGUGUUUGAUCUUCCCUUUGUUUUAACUUUCUGUGCAGCAUACGACUUCUUCUAACGAGUCGUACAUGAAUGUAUGACUCGUGUCCUUCAACCGUAUCCACUUUGGACUUUUGUCCUUCCUAAACUUGAACACUGGUUUGUAUACAACAUCCUUAUACAAGUCAUAUUCAGACUUCUGACUCGUAUACUUCUAACACUUCAAUCUUUGAAUAGUAUCUUAGGUUUCAUUAUUCUUACGACUUCUCUACACGUCUUACACUAUGGCUAACAAAAGUAAUGUAUAACACUACAAAGAAUGAAUGUUAUGUUUCAUUCCCUAGUAACGGUGCCAUUUUUAUAAUGCUCAAAUACACCCUAGAAUUAAAUGUAUCCAAUCGUUAACAAUACUUUUACCCAGCUAGGAGUCAGGGUCAAAUCCACAGGGAAUGAGAGCAAUAGCUCACUCAAGUAUUGCAAGAAACAAUUAGUUGGCACGUAAUGCUUAAAUAAAUACAAAUAAGUAAAAUGAGGGGUUACCUUAAAAAGCUUUUUGUAUUCAAAAUUAUCAAAAUUGAUAUUAUUUUCCCAAAACCAAAAGCUACUGAGUGUAAUCAAAUUGUAAAGGUACUUGGGGUUAUUCCUUCUUAAGAGUGAUUAUGAGUGUAGGUAAGCUAAAAUACCUAAAAUUCAAGUGGAAAUGAUGAUUAACUAGGUCUUAAUUACUGGAGAUAGUCUUUCAAUCUACCACCAAAUUUCAUGAGGGUUUCUUCUGAACUCCCACAUGUGUAUAAUACCAAACAACCAAAAACCUCAAAUUAGUUUGUCUAUUUCUAGCACUAGCUAUUAAGUGAGAAAUUCUCAAGUCUUUUUUAAUUAAAUCUCUCCACUUUUAUUUUCUCUUUCAAGCUAAACAACAUAUUUAAGGAUGAAUUGAAUUUGCAAUCUCAAUUAUUUAGUAGAAACAUAGAGAUUUAGCUAAAGUCACAACACUCAAUCGAAUAUUAAGGUAAAAUAAUAAGCACCCAAACAUUAAUCAACACCCAAUAUAAAUAACCUCAAGCUAGGAUGUAAGCUACUCAUAACAAGAGAAAAAGGAAAUAUACCUAUAUUCUCAUUAAAUUCCGACAUAGAAUCCACAGCAAUCAAGAAAAAAUUCAAAUUCAAAAGCGAGAAAAUAGUAAUAAACAACUAAAAUAUAACUAAGGUCUCAACUACAUGCUAACGAUUCAAGAAUUUAAGGUUUUCAUCAAUUAAGAUUGCUUAAAUAUCUCCAAAAAAAUCAUGCCUUGGAUUUACGAAAAUAGCACCAUGUCCAAUUUAGCUAAAGUGAAAAUGAUCACCGAUCACAUUUAUGAUGCAACAAAUUGUGUCAGGGCUCACUGAAAUAUCAAUACACUAAGCUCCAAGGGUUGGCAUCUGUCCUAUUUGGCAAUGGGACAUGGUUGUCAUCAUUUCAUUCGAUGAUCACUGACAUGUGCUUCUCAUUGUAGUUUUCUCCAAUGUUGGACUUGACCUCAUUUAUUACAUUUGGUGAUAGAUUUUUUCUUUUGGCGAUACGAAUGUUAUUUUUGAGAUGCACCGAUUCUCUAAGGUGGUUGGUUCUCUUUUACACUUUUCGCUUCGAUCUUCUAUCUUUUUGAUUUUUUCUCCUUUAUCCACUUCUCGUCCUUAACCUUGAAAUUAAACCAAAAAAUCAUUAAAAUGAAUCUAAAUUAGUGUUGAGGACAUGAUUUUUUUCCAUUUUUAGGUCAAAUGAGUCACAAUUUGCUGACUCAUCCCUAACUAAAGUCAAACUAAUAACUUUUAAAGCGUUUAAGGGUUUAAAACUCUUCCAAAUCAUUCUUGAUUGCACCAAGGACCAUGCUAAUGAUCCCCACACCAUAAAUCAUCAUGUAACAAUUUUAGGGAAAGGCAAAAUAGUCAAAACACAUAAAAAGGAAAAUUUUGCAUAACAGAUUGUUACUUUAUCCAGCACUAAAAGACUAUUUCAUCCUUAAACUAAAAGCAAACAAAGUACCUGAAGCGUUGAAAACUUGGGGGAAUCUACAAUGAAUAUUGGACUCAACCUCCCAAGUAUCCUCCUUAAUAAGGAGAUGUCUCCACUGUACUUUCAUCGAAUCAAUGAUAUUGGACCUAAACUUCUUAGUCUAUCUAUCUAGAAUAUAGGAUCCUCCUUAAAGGACAAAUCAGGGUCUAACACAAUGGAAUCCCAUCGAAUCAUGUAGGUAUCAUCUAUACGGUACCUCUUUAAUAUAGAAAUAUGAAAAAAGGAUGAACAAAUAAUAAAUGUGAAGGAAAAUCUAGCCUAUAUGCCAAAUCACCAUACUUCUCAAAAUCUCAAAAGGUUCAAUAAACGUCGAACUAAGCUUCCCUUUCUUCCCUUUCUCCAACCAAAUAUGAUGCAUAACGGGAUCAAUGGUCGGCAUAACUUUUUUGGAUACUCCAGAUAGCUAAUAGCAUUUACUGAAUUAGUCUUACAUGAUUCAUUGAUUCUUUCAAGAGUUUUAUACCCAAAGGUCGUAUCUCAAACGAAUCACACCAUCCCAUGGGGAUCAACACCUCCGACCACAUAAAGCCUCAAAAGGAGCCAUAUGAGUAUCAAAUAGGUAACUAUUAUUGUAGGCAAACUUUGCUAGGGGCAAGUACAUCGUCCCAAUGACCUUCAAAGUCUUUGACACAUGCUCGUAGCAUAUCCUCUAGCACCUGAAUUUCCAUUCCUCUGAAGGUGAAAAGCUAUUCUCAAAUUAAGCUGAGCACCCAACUCACUCUGAAUAUUACUCCAAAUACUCGAGGUAAACAUAGUACCUCUAUUGGAUACAAAGGAAAUAGGGACAUCAUGUAAUUGAAAAAAUCUCUCUACUGCAGAUCUUAGCCAACUUCUCUGCAUUAUAAUUCGCCCUCACAGGAAUGAAAUGUGUUGAUUUUGUCAAUUGAUCCUCAAUUACUCAACAGAGUUAACCUUCCCUAAAGUUGAGGGCAGGCCAACAAUAACAUCCAUGGUGAUCUGCUCCUACUUCCACUUGGGAAUGGGUAUCCCUUCAUCAUACCACUCAAUUAUCGAUGCUCAUACUUUACUUGUUGGAAAUUCAAAAACGUAGCCACAAACUCCAUAAUAUCCUUCUUCAUAUCACCCCAACAAUAAUGUUUCCUUAGAUCAUGAUGUAUCUUGGCUUCUCCUGGAUGAAUGGAAUAUCUAGAAAAAUGAUCCUCCUUAAAGAUUAAUCUAACCCAUCCACCAACUCUCGAACAUAAACCCGGCAACUAAUCUUCAAAACACUAUUAGAAUCAAAAGAUGUGGCCUUAGCCUCUCCACUCAACACCUUAUCAUGAAUCAUCCUUGCCCUAGCAUCAUUAAACUGAUGAACUUGAACUUGAAUCUGCUCCAUCAAAGAAUGCGUAGCAUCAACAAAUGCUAACAUAUAUCAAGUCUAACCAACUGGUUAGCUAAAGAUUGAACCUCCAAGGCCAAAUACUAUUUUUGAGUCAAGAGAUGAUCUAGACUCGCCAUACUAGUUGACUUCCAACUCAAGGCAUCCACAACAAUAUUUGCCUUGCAUGAGUGAUAAAGAAUAGUGGACCAUAGUCCUUAAGAAAACUCAAACCAAUACCAUUGUCUCAUAUUAAGAUCUCGCUGAGUAAAAAAGUACUGAAGGCUAAGGUAAUUCAAGAAAAUAUCAUAAUAGACCCCAUAAAAGUAAUGACGCCACAACGUUAAUACAAAGACAACUUUUGUCAAAUCUAAGUCAUGGCUAGAAUAAUUUUUCUCAUCGGUUUUUAACUAAAGAUAAGUAUAAGAAAUCACCUUACCCUUUUGCACCAACACAGCACCCAAACCGACACUAAAAGUAUGGUAAAUCCCAUUCCCUCCUUGGGAAUAGUCAAGAUAGGUUCCGAAGUCAACAACUCCUUGAGCUUUUAAAAGCUCACCUCACAAGCAUCCAACCACUAAAAGACUACCUUCUUCUGAGUCAACUUAAUUAAAGGUGCUCCAAUAGAAGAGAACCCCUCUACAAAAUGAUAGUUAACCCGCUAAACCAAAAAAAUUCUAAAUUUCAAUAGGAAAAGUAGUUAGUUCAAUCACAAACUACUAUUAUCUUGGCCGAAUUAACCAUAAUGCUAUCUUUAGAACAACAUAACCUAAGAAAGAAAUAGAAUCUAACUAGAACUCAUACUUGGAUAACGUAGCAUAUAACUUCUCAUAUGUAAGCUCUAAAGUACAAUCCUCAAGUGUUUCAUAUGAUUGUACUCAUUAUUGGAAUAAACCAAGAUAUCAUCUACAAAUACAAUCACAAAGCAGUUGAGAUACCAUUGAAAUACUCGAUUCAUGAACUCCAUGAAUGUUGCUAGGAAAUUGGUCAACCCAAAGGAUGUGAUCAAAAACUAAUAAUGAUUGUAUCGAGUUUGAAAAACCAUCUUUGGAACAUCCGAAGCUCUAAUCCUCAAUUAGUGAUACCUAGAUCUCAAGUCAAUUUUGAAAAACACCAAAGAACCUGAAGUUGGUCAAAUAAAUCAUCAAUCUAAGAGAGAGGAUACUUAUUCUUAAUAAUCACCUUAUUCAGUUAUCGAUAAUCAAUACACAUAUGCAUAUAGAAUCAUCAUUAUUCUUUACAAAAAAGAUAGGACCACCCCAAAUGCAUACACUAGGCUUAAUGAAAUCCUUACUCAACAAAUUCAAUUUUUACCUUUUUAAUUCCUUCAAGACAAUCGGGGCCAUUCUAUAGGGAGAAAUAAAAAUGGGCUUAGUGCCAUCUCAAUAUCAACUGUAAGAAAAAAUCAUAAUUCAGAGAAAUACUAGCAAAUAUAUGGGAAACGCAUCCUAAAAUUCCCUAACAACUUGAAUUGAAUCAAAGGACAUGGUGAAGUAACACUGGUAUUGCUAAUGAAGGCCAAGAAAAAUCAACAUCCUUUUUCUAAUAUGUAAUGAGUACAUACAAAAGAUUUAACUCCCUUUGGCCUCAAAUUGAGGGUACCCUUCCAAGAUAACGUUAGUACAUUCAAAGUAGCAAGAGUCACGAUCUAGCCAUAACAGUCCAAAAUAGCAUGACAGAUAGCUAAUCAAUUUAUUCUAAAGAUAACAUCAAAAUCAACCAUAUCUAAUAUUAUUAAUUCUAUCUAAGUAUCACGCCCUACAAGGAUAACAAGAUAAGAUCGAUAAAAUAAUUAAUUCUACUUGGGUCUCACACCUUGCAAGGAUAACAAGACAAGAUUGAUACACUCAACCCACCACUAAAGAAUCUCCUACAAAGGUAAAAACACUAAUAAGAACAAUAAGGGACUCAUAUACAACAUCAAAACUAGUAGCAAAAUAUAUAGACACAUAUUAGAAUAUAGAACUUGGUUCAAAUAAUGUGAAAGCAAAUCAAUAGAAAUUAGGAUGAUACUUGUAAUAAUUGUAUCAGAGGCCUCUGCCUCAAGUCUCCUAAGUAUAGAAUAACACUGACCACAUCCAAUCCUAUAAUAAGAAACCUCAUGUCCACCACCAUAAGUGCUCCCAACUCUACCUCGAGCAACUCUUGUACCACCCGUUCCACUCUAUAAACCAACUUGAACUAUAAAAAAUAUGAGUAGGGUAAAGUUGAAUCUAAAAACCCUGUUGGGAAGAACCAAACACAUAUUGAGGAUAGUCCUUUAUUAAAUGACCAACCUCAUGAAAUACAUAACACCCUGUGCUUCCUGAAUUAAUCUGUGGAGACCUAAAAGAAUUAGGACAACUGCUCUGGUCCAAUAAACUAAAACAAGAACCUCCUUCUGCCUGACAUUAUGCCUGACUACCAGGAUACAUAUCCUACCACCUAAUCCCUAUAAAUCUACUCGAUAGGCCUACCAUGAUAACUAUAGAACCUUGACUAGAGAAAUUUCUACCUUGGGAUGCUUGUUCAUAAACUCACCCUUAUGGUGUACCUUCUUGGUGCCUCCCUGAGUAACUUGGGUAAUUGAAUCAAUAAACUUAGAAUGCUCUACAAUAUUCUAAAAAAAAUAUCCUGAAACUACCAUCUAAGAUGUAGCAAAUUGAUAAGAACAUGUUAAUCCCUUGACAAACUUCCUAAUCUUUUUUUACUUAGCAGAGAUAUUGGUAGUGGAAUAUCAAGAUAAAGCAUUAAAGUAUUCCUCAUACUCAAUAAUAGAUAUGGAUACUUGAAACUUAUAUCACAUAUAAUCUCUCAAACUAUAAGGCAUGAGCAUCUCUAGAAAAUCCUUAGACAAUUGGGACUAUGGCAUGGCAGGAGAAUGGUCUAUAACUAAAAGGAGACUCUAUCAUAAUCUACCAACAUCAAUCAACUAAUAAGUUGUAUAAGCUACACUAUAAUACUCAAGGGAUUUAAGGCUACGAAACCUCUCUAGAAAGUCAAUUAGAAAAUCAUAGCAUCUUCUCUAAUUGUACUACAAAACUUAGGAGGAGUUAAGUGAAUAAACCUCAAAAACCUCUUUUAAUCAUUAGAAGACAUUACAAGAUCCAAAGCAAUUGGGGGAAUACUAAGACUAAUAGGUAGCAAAUCCAUAGAUAGAGUACUAUAACACCCCAGAUGUUUACUUCUAGAAAAUUCUGAAUUUAGAACUUACUAUCUAACCUACAACUCACCUUACGAGUUGUAAGGUAUCCUUACGAGUCGUAAGGUGUCCUUACAAGCCGUAAGGUAUCCUUACGAGCCAUAGAAGCCAAAUCGUUGUCUGGCCAGUGAGUAGCAUUAAUGUUAUUUUCUUGAUUAUGACUAGAGUUCACGAGUCAUAAAGACUCAUUAUGAGUCGUAGCUUUCAAAUCAUAAGGUAACCAGUGUAUGCCCAAUUGGAUUCUAUAUUAAUUAUGAUUGGACCCUAUGAGUCAUAGGGUCUCAUUAUGAACAAUAGGUUACAAGUUGUAGGACCAAUAGUGUGUGUGUGUGCCUAAGGAAUCUGCCUUGACUAGGAGUUUAGGGAUAAAUUUAACCUAUUCGUUAUAAGUCGUAGGGUAACUCGUAAUGUUUGGGUAAAUUUUAGUAUUUUAAGUAAGGGCAUUAUGGUCAAUUCCCUCAUUCCCCACUUAGACCCCACGUACAUAAAAUACCUUGGACCAUUAUUUCCAACAAUUAUCAAUCAUAAACAAUUUGUUUACUCUCUCAAACUCUCUUAAAUUCCUAAGGCAAGAACAAGUUAGGGUUUCUCAAAGUUGGUCACCUAAGGGCUGAAGGGUUGAUUUCUCUCCAUAAUCUUUACAUCUCAGGCAUGUUACUCUUCCCCAAAUCUUAUUUUUUUGAAAAUCAUGUUUUUAAAUAGUUUAAUUGUAUGGAUUUAAAUGUGGGUUUUGACAUGGGUUGAGGGUUUUAGAAUGGUUGAUCCUUGAAUUAUUUUUCCAUGGUUUUCAGGAGUUGUUCAUGCUUUGAAUUGAAUGUUUUUUAACUAAUAAGAUGCAUGGAUGUGGGAAUCGGAAUGGGGGUCAAGGUAAUCCUCUAAAAUUGAUGUUUUGAUCUUGGAAAUUGAUUUUGAAAAAUUGUAUUCCCUCAACCUACUUGUGUAAAUGGCUUUGAAUUAUGGAAUUGUCAUUUCAUUUAACUUACUCGCCUACAUUGUUGCAUUACAUAAAUGAAUAAACAAUGAACAUGGACUUUAAAGGCAUUGUUUUCUAUGAGUUUAUCUGAUAAACAAAAAAAGGUUGAGGCACUCUGCAGAAUGGUUGAUCCUUGAAUUAUUUUUCCAUGGUUUUCAGGAGUUGUUCAUGCUUUGAAUUGAAUGUUUUUUAACUAAUAAGAUGCAUGGAUGUGGGAAUCGGAAUGGGGGUCAAGGUAAUCCUCUAAAAUUGAUGUUUUGAUCUUGGAAAUUGAUUUUGAAAAAUUGUAUUCCCUCAACCUACUUGUGUAAAUGGCUUUGAAUUAUGGAAUUGUCAUUUCAUUUAACUUACUCGCCUACAUUGUUGCAUUACAUAAAUGAAUAAACAAUGAACAUGGACUUUAAAGGCAUUGUUUUCUAUGAGUUUAUCUGAUAAACAAAAAAAGGUUGAGGCACUCUGCAAAUUUGACUUGAUGAACAAAGAGGGUCGAGGCAUUUCCUCAAGUUAAUGAAAUUGUAAUGGCAUAAUUAUGAGCUUGUAAGUGUAAAGGUAUGACGAUACCUGUGGUGUGCCUUAAUGUGUAAUUCUAUGGUUUAAUAAGAGUUUUAUGUAAAAUUUAUAUUAAUUCAGAUUAAAGGGGGUUGCGUAGCUUACCGUGAACGUGUAAGUCCCAUGAAGGACGAACACUGAAUAUCACAUUUGUCGGUGUAGGGGUCUUGAUGAUUGUGUGCAUAGUUCAUAUUAUAUAUAUGCAUAUUGGAUAGGCGUGGUAUUGGGGCAUUCCCUGGUCUUCCUUAAUAACCUAACUUGUGUGGUUAACACACAUUAGGACCCUUUUGUAGGGUGAGAGUUAGACCCAUAUAGCCCGUGGGUAUAAAUGAUGGGACAGCUGCACAGUCUAGGCUGAUGUCUUAUUCAUUCUAAGACUUGUUCCCUAUCUCAACAUGUUAUAUAUAUGUAUAUAAUUAUGUGCAUUGGUUUUGAUUGAUUUUUGAACUGAUUUGAUCAUGGAAUUAUUUAAUCCCUUCCUUAAGUUAUAUGAUAGAGUUCAACCUGCUAACUAUCUUUGGACGUUGUAUCCCCAUGCGAUGCAGGAACUGAAGACACUUCUGUCUUUCCUACAUAGUGAUAGGUGACUUAGACCAUGUAUGUGUUAGCUUAAAAUGGUGAGCCUCCUUCUCGCGAAAGGUUGUUACUUCUUAGUUUAUCUCAUGUCAUAGACUAGUUCUCAUGGUUUAUUUUGGUUAUUGUUGGGGCAUGUCCCAGCUUAGAUUAUUCUCAAAUAGUAGAGGCGUUAUGGAUUACUGUGGAUUGAGAUGCUAGUGAAUUCUUAGAACUUUCCUUAUUAUUGGUUAUUCUAUCUUUGUAUAUGUUCAGAAUUCUUCCGCUGCUAGUAUGUUGUGUUCUAUUUGACUAGGCAAAGGGGGUGAUCUCCUAUCCUCGACAGACUUGAAGACCCAAAAAUCCUCUUCACCUAUAUUAAAUUACAACUUUGGCUUCAAGGCCCAAAUGAAUGAAAAAUAGAUAAAUAAAGAAAGAAAGAAAGAAAAAUACAAUAAUAAAAAUUGAGAAUUUUUAAGUCUUUUAGCGACCUCAUCAAUGGGUUUUGACCCAUUUUCAUUCUUCUUCCAUCUUCUUUCACCCGCACACCAUAUAAUUGACUUUGGAUUUAAACUUCAGACUUUAAUCGAAGAGUUGGGCCUCAUUGGCCCAUUAGAAAAUUCAUGAGGAAAAGAGUCCAUUUGGACUCCAAAAAAGAUUCAUGCAAAAAAAAAAGAUAGAAGAAAAAGAAUUAAUAUGUGUUCAAAAAUUCUACACCUGAUAGAUAAAUGAUGAGAUGGAAAAAUAGUAUUCUCAAGCAUAAAGAAAUAGUAUACUAUGAUAUCAAAAACAAAUGAAAUUAUCCAGCGAAAAGGAAAUUAACCUAUUUCUCAAAGAAUCUUACAAAAAAUCGAGUCUAGCACAAUAUAAUCAACUGAUCCUUGAAAAGAAAAUGUUGACCCACAAGUAUAGUUACUUAAAAUUUGGACAAUAUUUCCUAUAGAUUAACACAUAUUUGCACCAGAUACUAUGACAUGAUAUAUUUCUUAAUUUCCUAUAGAUUAACACAUAUUUGCACCAGAUACUAUGACAUGAUAUAGUCUAAGACAUGUUUUUAUUAAAUAAAUAAAAGGGGAAUGAGCAUAAGAUGAGAAAAUCUUUUUGUGACAUCUCAAAUAUAUAAUACAAAACAUAUUAACGCAAUAAUACUUUUUUCAAUACCGAAUGGAUUCAAUCAACAGAUUUGAAGAAAAAUUCAUGGUAGUAUGUGAAUAACAAUGGGACGUCUAAAUUCACAAAAAUACUUCAAAAAAUAAAUCAAUAAGAGAGGUGAAGUAAAUAGCAUUUAUUAAAAAUGUUUGAGAAGUUAUAUUCAAAGACAAGAUAGGAAAAAUGACAAAAUAUUAAUUCUAAGAAAAAAGUGUCCAAUUAUGUCAACUCCUAGUUUAGUUUUACACCAUUUCAAAAAAAUCUAUAACCCUAAACAUAACACAUGAUAUGCCUUUCAAGACUAAAACCGUUUAACCGGUGAUUUUGCAAAUCGCUAGGCCACAAACAUAACACAUUAUCAUAUGCCUUUCAAGACUAAAACCAAAUUCCUAGAUACGGGUAACUCGCUACUUCAGUGAGAAACAAUUUUACAGACUCUUAACAAUAGUAACUAUUCUUUUUUGACAUAAAGGAAACAACUUUACAUGCUAAAAGUAAACAUAUCCGCCAAAUAACAAAUUUAACAAGGAAUGAGUAAGUAUUUUAAUCAAGAAAAGGUAGAAACUUUUUCCAUCUAAUUUACUAAGGCAAGACAAAUAAUACUAACUAUCAUAAAGGAAACAACUUUUCAUGCUAAAACCAAAAAUAUCCACCAAUAACGAAUUUAAACAUGGCAUGAGUAUGUAUUUUAAUCAAGAAAAGGUUGAAACUUUAAAGGCGAAACAAACAAUAGUAACUAUUCUUUUCAACAUAAAGUAAAAAAAGUUUUACAUGCUAAAAGAGAACAUAUCCACCUACAACGAAUUUAAAUAAGGAAUGAGUACGUAUUUUAAUCAAGCAAAGGUCGAAACUUUAUCCAUCUAAUCAUAAUAAUCAAAGAAUAAAGCCAAAGAAACACGUUCAACUAUUGUUAGCUCCUUUUAUACCAUGAAUAUAAAAUAUCCAUAAUAUUGAUAUCACAACUUCCUAUGGCCUUCAAUUCCUGCUACAGCAAACAAUCUCAGCAAAUAAAAUCACAACUACGAAACUAUGAAGAAGGAGAUGAAGAAGAAAAUGAUAACACAACUAAAAGGGAAAGGUGUAUUUACCUUUUUCAGAGUAGCGAAAUGGGACUUCAAACUUUCUUCGGAGUCUUGAUCACCACCAAAAAGCAAUCUUUCGAGAACCCUGCCUAGACUAUCGCUUGAAAAUUUUUAAUAGAUAAAAUUUAACUCUUUGUACAAAAGUUUUUUCAUUUCUUGAGACUUGCUUUCUACUAAAAUGGUGGUAGUAUUUAUAGGAAAGGAUGGGGAAUGAAUUCUUUGAAUCCACCAAUAUGGGAGAAAGAACUUACCGGUAUUUUUGGAAUUUUAAAUUAAGGGUAAGGUUUGUUGGAGGAUAAGAUGGGGUGAAAUUGUACAACCUAGUACAAAUUUUGAAUUUUAAAAAAUGGAAAAAGGACAAGGUUGAGGGGGAAUUGUACAAACUAGUACAAAUUUUGAAUUCAAAAAUGAAAAAGGGACAAGGUUGAGGGGAAAUUAUACAAGCUAGCCUAAAUUUUGAAUUUUAAAAUGGAAAAUGGACAGGGUUGAGGAGUAAUUGUAUAAUCUAGUACAAAUUUGAAUUUUUGGUUUUGAAUUGAUGUUGGCGAUUUCUUUUUUUUAAGUUGUUGUACGUUGGGUAAAGGAGAAAGUAAAUUGGGUCGGGUAAUGGAAAUUGUUGAUGGGUCGCCGAAGGGAGUGGGAUAGUGGGUCGGCUUUGGGUUGGUAGAAGUGUUUUGGGGUUAUUUAAAAAGUAGCCCCAAUAAAUUUAGGAUUUAGUCAUCUUAUUAAAUUUUCGGCCAAAUUGAAAUCAAUUGGCCAAUUGCGUUGUAAUUAUGAUCAAUUGGAUUUCAAUUAUGAUCAAAUUAAAUAGACCGACUAAAUUAAAUUAAACUUUGAUACGAAUUAAUGCCCAAUUUAAUCUCAAGAUUCUUGAUUAGAUAAAACCAAAUAAAUAUUUCUCAAAAUAAAUUAAUUUUUUAGAACAAAUUAUAUUUGAAUCAAAAUUCUAUCAAUUUGAAAUAAUUUUCAAGCUUAAUCUCAAUAAAAGUCCAAUUUUGAUAAAAAUAUUCAUUUAACUAGCAAAAUUUAUACAAUCUAGUGUAUGUAAAUAUGAAAACAUAUAAUCGUCACUUAAAUGACAAGAUUAAUCCAAAUAAAAUUUUAGAGCGCAUUUCUCUAGAUGAAAUAAAUAUUUUGAUUUUAUUAUAAAUCAAAGAAACUCAGGAUUAAAUUUAGUCGUGGAGGGCAAAAAUUAGCUGUCAACAGUAGGGUCUCAUUAUAAGUCGUAGGAUCAACAGUGUGUAUGUUCCCAAGGACUCUUCCUUGACUACUGGUCAACGGACGACUCGUAGUUAGUCGUUACAAGUGUAGGGUGACUCGUAACGACUAGGAAGUAAAUUUUAGCAUUUUAAGCAAGGGCAUUAUAAUCAAUUUCAUCAUUCCCCACUUAGACCCCACGCACACAAAACACCUUGGGACCAUUAUUUCCAACUCUUAUCAAUCAUAAACACUCUCUUUACUCUCUCAAACUCUCUCAAAUUCCUAAGGCAAGAACAAGCUAGGGUUUCUCAAAAUUGGUCACCUAAGGGCUCAAGGGUUGAUUUCUCUUCGUAACUCUUGACAAUUCAGGCAUGUUACUCUUCCUCAAAUCUUAUUAUGUAAAAAGCAUGUGUUUUAAAUGGUUUAAUUGUAUGGAUUUGAAUGUGGAUUUUGACAUAGUUUGAGGGUUUUAAAAUGGUUGAUCCUUGAAUUGUUUUUCCAUGAUUUUCAUGAGUUUUCAUGCUUUGAAUUGAAUGUUUUUUAACUAAUGGGGUGCAUGGAUAUGGGAAUUGGAAUUGGGGUUGAGGUAAUCCCCCAAAAUUGAUGUUUUGAACUUAGAAAUUGGUUUUGAACAAUUGUAUUCCCUCAACCCACUUGUGUAAAUAACUUUGAAUUAUGGAAUUGUCACUUAGUUAUACUUACUCACCUACACUGUUGCAUUACAUAAAUAGUUAAACAAUGAACAUGGAAUUUGAAGGCCUUGUUGGCUAUAAGUUGAUUGGAUAAACAAAAAGGGGUCGAGGCAUUCUCCAAAUUUGAUUCAAUGAACAAAAGGGGUCAAGGCAUUCUCCUAAGUUAAUGGUAUUGUAAUGGCAUAAUUAUGAGCUUUCAAGCAUAAAGGUAUAAUGAUAAGUGUGGUGUGCCUUAAUGCGUAAUUCCAUGGUUUAAUAAGAGGUUUAUGUGAAAAUUAUUUUAAUUAGGGUUAAAGAGGGGUGUGUAGCUUACCGUGAAGGUGUAAGUCCCUUGGAGGAAAAAUACUGAAAACCACAUUUAUUGGCGUAGGGAUCUUGAUGAUCGUGUGCAUAGUUCAUAUUAUAUAAAUAUAUAUAUAUAUAUGCAUCUUGGAUAGGAAUACGGUCUGGGCAUUCCCUUGUCUUCCUUGAUACCCUAAUUCAUGAAGUUAACACGCACCAAGACCCUUUUAGAAGGGUGAGAGUUUGACCCAUAUUGCCCAUGGGUAUAAAUGAUGGGACAGCUACAUAAUUUAGACAAAUUUCAUACUUUCGUGCUAAGCGUUGUUCCCUAUUUCGGUAUGUUAUAUAUAUGUAUAUAAUUGUAUGCAUUGGUUUUGAUUGAUUUUUGAACUGAUUUGAUCAUGGAAUUAUUUUAUCCCUUUCCUGAGUUAAAUACCAGCACUCAACUCGCUAACCCUCUGUCAUGCCUCGAGUCUGUACCCCGGAUGCAAUAUGGUUCUUACAACCCCAAAGGACCACAAGCUAACCCAUGACUUAUACUUGCUGUAAAAACUGAAUAAUAAUACUAAAAUAAUGUAGAAGUUAGGAUGAAAUACCAUAAGGUUCAAAAUAUGAAUAUUGUUAAAUUUAACAUCUGAUAAUAAUAUCUAAAACUAAAUACUGUCUAAACUAGUCUAGUCUGAAAAGCCUCUAACUGAACUAUCUGAAUGUGAAGUUGAUGGGACAAGCUCUCAACUAACUCCGACUACUAAAAUACUGAAACUACUGAAAUACUGGAAUAAAAGCAUAUCCUUGAUAGAUGAGGACUCACUACUACAUCUGUUGUUGCAAUCUAAAUUUGUCUAAGCAUGGUCGGGACCCUAAGCGUUAUAACCUAUGAUAUGAGACAUCAUAGCGCAAAGAGAAAGUAUACGUUAGUACAUGGAAUAUACUGGUAUACUAGAUGGGGUAAGGCUGAAUGUAAGGGUUCAUAUGCAUGAACAUUAACUGACUAAAUGGUAUGAAGUAACUGAAUUAAAGUACAUAGAAUACUGAAACUGCUAUAAAAUAUUGAGUAUGCAAUAAUAUGCAUAUACAUAUAUAUUGUAUCUUAUUUUUUACUGAAACUGAGUACUGAGUUUUGAUAAUUGAGUAACUUAUAUCAGAGAUUACUAAUAACUAAAUUACUGAUACUGAGUGACUAUUUUUGACAGUCCUAAUUUUGUAGAACUGAACUGAGUUCUAUACUGAGCUGGGUGACUAUGUCUGACAGUCCUGAUUCUGUAGAACUGAACUGAGUUCUAUACUAAACUAGGUGACUGUGUCUAACAGUCCUGAUUCUAUAGAUCUGAACUGAGUUAUGUACUGAGUCUGAUACUGAAACUAAAACUGUAGGAGGUAAUCAUCUAACUGAUAUGCCCCUCUCUGAAUAGAUUAUGGUCCUACCUAUAACCCCAGUUAGAAGGGUGUCAGUACCGUGCCAUGGGUAAGGACAAGCUAAAAAGUCACCCUCAUCUAGCAAAUGCCCUGAAUGAGAACGGUGGUACCCUCAACUAGCAGGUAUAAUACUUUAUCAACCCUCAACUGGCAGUUUGAUAUCUCAACCUACGCUAGCUACGUAGUUCUAUAAUACAAGGACUGCUACUAGGGAUUACACCCUCUACUGGUAGGUGAGCCCCCAUCCUUGGAUUUUCACUUAGUGCUGAAUCCUACUCCCAACUGAAGACGCUAAUUAUUAUACUAAGCUAAAAUAGACUGAUAAUGAGUUUCACUAAGUUCUGUACCUGACUACGUACUACUGUUCGUGAAAAGUGCUGAGACUAUACUGUAACUACUAUCGCUCUAGGUAAACAACUAGAUUUUUGGGUAUUGAAUACCCUAAGGACUCGAAAUCAUGGAAAGUGAAGCAUGGCAUGAUCUUGAAAAGCAUAAUAAUAGAUGUUUAUUAACAAUACAUUCACCUAGGCAUUUUGUCAAACACUUGAGAUGCAUGAACUUGUACAAUGAAUGGGACCACAUGAUGACAUGUCAGGAUUUCACUAUUCAAUUCACAUAGUAGUUCUAUCAAACACUUGGGGAGCUUGGUUAUUUUAUGUAAUAAUAGUCAACACAUGAACAUCAUAGAUACAACAAUCAAUUGUAAUUUCAAAGGUUUAACAUGCAAAUCAUAUAAUUCACCACACAUGUUAUUUUAAUUUUAUGAAACUUGUAGUAAAUCAUGGAUUGAAACCCAAAUAAUAUCAUGAACAUGAAUAAAAUCUAAUUCAACAUAAAAUUCAUGAAAGAAAUCAACUUGUAAUUUUAAAAGGGGUUCUUGAACUCGAAGGGUUAAAGGAAACCCUUGGAUGAACACCUAACUUACCUUGGUAAUCAAAUUCGUGAAGACUGAUGUUGUGUUCUUGAAGCUUGAAUUUGAAAUUGGAUGCUCUAGGAUUUGUUCUUGAGGAAAUUUGAGAGAGAAUAAGGGAUUUAGCCCUUAGAGUAGGUUAAUAUCGUGUUUUAGGGCUGAAUAAACGUGGAAAAAUGACAUAAAUACCCCUAUGGAUGUGAUUUGUUAAUUACUGAAAAUGUGCCCAGUGAUGCAAAAACUGACGUGUUGCGUCGAUGGUUUUGAUAUGAUGACCGACGCACCAAGUCGAGUUUGCAUUAGGUCACUGGAAUUUGCACUCUGACGCUGGGGAAAAUAUUCAUCGACGCGAUGCAUUGAUAUCGCGUCAACCCAUUGUUUUGGUCACCCAAACACGCUUUAAAUAAGGUCUGAAAAAAUCCAAAACUCACCCGAAGUACCUAUUGACACACUGAUCAUGAUUCAAUCUAAAGGAUUGACAUUUUAAGGUCAUGAGGGUCAUAAAAUAAUAUUGCCAAAUUAUCAAGGCUAAAAAUGAUUCUAAGUAUAGACUCUUGGCUAAAAUUUCUAAGUCUGGGACCUCUUUUAUCAUACUCUAAAGGACUGAGUUAAGCUAGGAUUUUGUAGGGUCUUACAUCCUUUCUAGAUAUUGUAACCCCAUGUGAUGUAGGAACCAAAGACACUUUUAUCUUUCCUGCAUAGUAAUAGGUGAUCUUGGACUCUACAUAAGUCAGCUUGAAGUGGUGAGCCUCUUUCUCCUAAAAGGUUGUUACUUCUUAGUUUAGCCCAUAUCAUAGACUAUUUGUCAUAGUUUGUUUUAUAUAUCAUCUGGGACAUGUCCCGACUUAGAUUAUUCUUGGAUAGUAAAGGCUUUUUGGAUUAUGUGGAUUGGGAUGUCAAUGAAUUCUUAGAAAUUUUCUUAUUAUUGGUAAUUCUAUCUUGUAUAUGUUAGAAAAAAAAUUGUUUCUAGUAUGUUGCGUUCUGUUUGACUAGGCAAAGGAGGUGGUCUUCGGUCCUUGGAGGACUUCAUAUACCCUUCACGUACAGGCCCUGGUUCGGAUUGUGAUAGGUACCAUAGAAGUUUUUUGUACCCUUGAAGUCAAAAAACCAUAAACAAAACCUAAAACUAAAGGCAAAACAUCACUCGAAGUCUAAUAUAUACCCAUUAUACUCAAAGAAACAUCAUCCAAAUGAAUCAAGAGACAAAUCAAUAGACCCUGUAGAACUGGGUGUCAAUCAAACCUUAUAGGACUUGAGUUAUCCUCACACCCUUUGAUUAAUAGUCACUCUUAUCACACUCAACCGCGGGCUCAAGAGAGGUCUCCUUAGCACGUUCUCUAACUGAGAAAGUUUCUCGGGCCUAUUUUCUACCUCAUGGCCAGCCACGACCCCUACCUUUCCCUUGACUUGGGCUCUAAUAUCAGGAGCUAGCUCUGCAUCCCUAAUAGCUCUGAUCCUAGUCCUCAGCAUCUGUUCAAAAAUAGAAUGUAAGUUUAUAAUAUAGGGUAUGAAUAACCUGCACGAUAAGGAAUUAAAUUAGAGAAAUUUUUUCUAAAGAAGUUUUAUAGCCUCUCAAAGAUAGAUAUGAAUGUCUAUGUACCGAUCUGCAAGGCUCUACGACAUCCUACUCUUGCACUUCUGAGAUCGGUGAACCUAGCGUUCUAAUACUAAUUGAUCACAACUUAAAAGUUAAGGUCAUGAUGGCACCUAUCGAGACCCAACCUUGGUAGGUAAGCUAAUUACCUAAAAAGAAAAUUGCUAUGUAAACUAAACAAUUGUAAUGCCCCGAGAGCAUACCCUGGGCAUCACACGGUGCUUAUAGUCCCGAGGGAUCACAAACUAACCCAUGAGCUGGUACCUGUUGUGAGCAAUAGAUAACAUGAUUAUAAAUACGGAAGAAUACUAACAUGCUUAUGGUUUUAAUAACUAAAUUCAAAACUGAAAUAUAAGUCUAUAGAAAUAACUGACUGAAUCUGAUAAAACACUAAUAAACUGGAUAACUAACUGUAAGGUCUAAAUACUGAAUAACUGAAUUUAAUAUCUGAUUAGCCUCUAAAACUAAAUGACUGUGAGUUGAUGGGACAGUCCCCAACUAACUACUAAACUGAGACAUGAAAUAAAAUAAGUUUAUCCUCGAUGUAUGAGGACUCACUACUGCUACUACUAAGGAUCUAAUAAGUCUAAUCAUGAGCCAAGAACUGAGCAUCAUAACCUAUGAUAUAAUACAUUAUUGUGCAAAAGAAAAGCUAUGCAAUCAGUACUUUGAAUGUACUAGUAUGCUAAAUGAGGUAGGCCAAUAUCCAUGCUUUGAUGAACAAAACUAAUAAUUAACUGAAUAUGCAUGUAAAGCAUGGAGUAUUGAAUAAAGAGCAUGAAAACUAUAGGUAUUCGGAAUAUGUAGAAAUCUGUAAAUACUGAGUAUGCAUGAAAAUUUAUAAAUACUAAAGAUACGUGAAAAUCUGUAGAUGCUGAGGAUGCAUGACCAAGCAUAUAACAUGAACUGAGUAAAAUCUGUAAACUAAAAUACUGAAAUAACUGGAAUAUGUAUGCUUUGGUCAAACAACACUAAAACUGAAUAACUGAACUAGGACUGCAACUGAGACUUUAUCUGAGACUGUAGGAGGUAUCAUCUAACCGAUAUUUCCCAAUUUGAGCUAAUCAGGGUCCAACCUGUAACCUUAGUUGGAUGGGUGUUAAUACCAUGCCACGGGUACUAACAUUGGCUGUUUGGAUCCACUAAACUAAGAUAAUAUCCAAAGGACUAAGGGUGUCAAUCCUAAACUGAUGGGUGACCCCUGCGAGAUAGUCAAGCCUAAUCUGACGGGUGACUUUUUAUAUCCUAUGCUGGCUACGUAGUUAUGGAAUAUAGGGACUACUACUAACGAAUUUUCCUAUCUGACGGGGAAGCUUCCAUCCCUAUACUUGCUCGGUGCUAAAUCCUACUCCCAACUGAAAGACACUGAAAUACUAGACUAUUUUGAGUUUAACUAACUGAUGUUCGACUGUCCUGAUAAUGCUCAUAGUAUGUUCUAAAGACUAUUAUUUAAUGUACUGAGACUAGACUAAAUAAACAUCUAUGGUUUUCAGGUAUUCAAUACCCCUAGGACUCAAAAAUAAUAAUAGUAAGAGGACACCAAAACUUGGAAGACAUAACAUGAAGGCUUUUAUUAAAUCAAUCACUCUUCAAGGCAUUUUAUCAAAUACUUGUACUUCAUAGUUUAGUCAAUUCAUGGGAAUAGAAUAAAAUUUGAAACAAUAGCAUGAUUUCAACCUUUAUAACACUAAAUCAUGAUCUAAUUUGAAGAAUGACAAUAAUAAAACAUGUGGGAAUUGAUAACAAUGAUAAUUUCGUUAAAGCAUGGCAUAAAAUCAAUAUUCAUGGAAGUUCAUGGAGAUUCAUAGUUUAAAAUCAUAAUUUAAUAUCAUAAAUCUAGAAAAGAUGAAAGAUUUGUAAUUAAAACAGAUACUUGGACUCCAUGGAUGAAAGAAAUCUAUAGAUGAACUCUAACAUACCUUAAUUGAUGGAUUUCUUAAAGUUCUUGGUGAAUUCUUGAGGAUUGGCCUUGAAUUUAAGAGCUAGGGUUUGUAUUUUAGAGAGAAAGCUCUUGAAUUUGGGGGAAAAUUGAGUGAAUAAUAAAGUAAUAGGUUAAUUAAGAGGGAAUUUCCUGUUAAAGGCUGACUGGGGUGAGGAAAAAAAGACUUUAAUGCCCUCAGAUUGAAACUCAAAAUUAUUGAAAAAUUCUCAAUUUUGUGGGCCAGCGUGAUGCGGCACUAUUGCAUUGUGUCACUGGAAUUGGACAAUUAAGAAAAUGCACGAUGGAACGAUUUGGUGUAAUCGCGUUGCCACCUUGUUUGUGACCUAGAAUCUCACCUUGAUGUAGUGGUAUUGCGUGGGAUCACUAGAAAUUGAUAAUUUUGAACUGAGCCUAUGGCGCGACGCGCCAACAUUGCGAAGGCUCACUGGUUUUUGAAAAUUGUCAUUUAGGUUGGCUCCACGACGCGCUAAGGGUUAAAUUGUGGUGUUUAACGACCGAAACUUAAAAUCGCCAUAACUUCUAACCUGGUCAUCGGAUUUGAGAGAAUUUUAUACUGUUGGAAAGCUAAUUCAAUUUCUUAUGCAAUAGCAAGGUCUAAACUGACAAAUAAUGAGUGUUUCAAAAAUUUUAUAUACAAAUACUCAUGUAUUGGGACUUAGAUUACACUAGGGAAAUAUGGGGUAUUACAAUAUCUCCCCCUUGGAAUCAUUCGUCCUCGAAUGAGACAAAUUAAGCUAAGAGAAAAAAUGAUAGACUGAGCUUACACACUGAACAUACAUAUCUGAUGCAUGGAAUGCAUGACUGAACUAACUCAUGAAUGCACGACUGACAUGUGCAAUUGAAACUGAGCAUGAUAGAGAGAAAUCUUAAGAAGAUUAGCACCUUAUACUGAAUCUGGAUUCGCAGAGAAAAGUUGAGAGUACUUAGUCCAUAUAUCUACCUCUGCUUCCCAAUUGGCUCCAUCAAUGAACUGAUUUUGACAAAUAACUUUGAACAAUGGAAAUUCUUUGUUCCUUAUUCUGCGAACUUGAUGAUCAAGAAUUUUGACUGGAAUUUCCUCAAAGGAAAGACUAUUCUGAAUAUCUACACUUUAUAAGGAAACAACUAUAGAUGGAUUACCAACACACUUUUUAAAUAAUAAGUCAUGGAACACUGGGUUUACUGAGGCUAAAUCUGAAGGCAACUCAAGCUCGUAAGCUAUCUUUCCAAAAUAAUUGAGAAUUCUGAAGGGGCUGACAUAUCGGGGACUGAGUUUCCCUUUCUUGCUGAAUCUCCUUACUUCCUUCAUGGGAGAGAUUUUCAAGUACACAAAAUCACCGACCUCAAACUCGAGAUCCUUUCUCCUCACAUCUGAAUAUGAUUUCUAUCAGCUCUAGGCAGUCCUAAGCCUUUCUCUGAUCAACUGAACCUUCUGUAAUAUAUCAAACACUAAGUCAGGCUCUACUACUAUGGCCUCACCUACUUUAAACCAACCAAUUAGAGAUCUACAUCUCCUACCAUAGAGAGCUGUUAGAUCCAUCUGAAUACUAGAAUGAUAGCUAUUAUUAUAUUCGAAUUCAAUCAAAGGCAAGUGGUCAUCCCAACUACCCUUGAAAUCAACAAUGCAUGCUCUCAGCAUAGCCUCAAGAGUCUGAAUGGUCCUUUCUUCCUGACCAUCUGUCUGAGGGUGGAAAGUUAUACUGAGGUGCACAUGAGUACUAAGACCCUUUUGGAAUGCUUUCCAGAAGUGAGAGGUAAACUGGGUACCUCUAUUUGAGAUGAUAGAUAAGGGAACACCAUGCAACCUAACCAAAUCUUUAAGAUAGAGUUUGGUAUAGUCCUCAGUUGAACAAGAGGUAUGGACUGACAAGAAAUGAGCUGAUUUGGUCAUCUUGUCUAUGAUAACAUAUAUAGAAUCAUGUUGAUGAUGAGUACAAGUCAAACCCAUCAAAAAGUCCAUGUUUACUUCUUCCCAUUUCUAUGUGGGAAUAUUGUACUCCUGCAUGGACCCACUAGGCUUCUGGUGCUCAAUCUUAACUUACUGAUAUAUAGAGCAUUUAUCUAUAAACUCUGCAAUAUCUCUCUUCAUCAUACUCCACCAAUAGAUCUCCUACAAAUCAUGGUACAUCUUAGAGGCCCCUAGAUGAAUAGAGUGGCACACGCCAUGCGUUUCUGCAAGAAUUCAUUGUCUCAACUCAUCUACACCAGGAACACAUAGCCGACCCUGACAAUUGGUGAGCUCUAAGAGUUUGUAACACUAUUCUAAGAUGGUCUGCAUGAUCAAUUUUUGUAACACCCCAAAAUCUCAUCCCAAGACGUCACACGGUGCUUAAAGCUACAAGUAGCUCUAAGCUAACCCAUUGAGCCUGUUACUACUUCAACACUUGCUUUAGGAUAAAUAAGCUAAACAAUGAUACUUUAUUGGAUUAACUCUAAUCCAAAAUAACUGGAAAUAAUGUCUGAAUAGCAAAAAUACUAAUAAUCUGGAAUACAACUUCAAUUGAUAGUUUAGUUUGACAAAGCCUCUACUACUCAAACUGGAGAGCUAUUGGGAUAGACCCCCAACUGACUCACUAUGACCUGAAAGUAAAACUCAAAACACUAUGGAAAUAGGAAAUCUACAAGUAUAGGCCCUCAAACCAUGAGGACUCACCAACUGUAGAAUGUAGAUAAAGGUACUCGGGAAUCACGAUUACUGCUGAGACUGAGCACCUGAACCUACAUUAUGAGACAAUGUAGCACAUAGACGUAUAUGUGGAUCAGCACUUUGGGAAUGUACUGAGUAUAUGGGGGUGUAUGUAUUUACAUAAAACAAUAUCAAUACUCUUUAAUAAAAUCAUGCAUGCAAAUAGGAAUAACUCAACUGGCUUGAAUAAGUCUAAAAUAUAAAACUCAUAAAUAGUGAAACAUGUAACACAAAUCUCGUGAGUCAUUAUACUUAACUUUAAAAAUCUAUACUCUCCUCUUAUUCUCAGUACUUGAAGGCUAAAGAAAGCUUUAAAUAAUACUUUCAAACUCAUGCUUUUAUCUUGUAGAGAGUAAAACUUCUUUAAAACUUAGAGCUUAUAGAACUUUUAGGAACUUUUAACACUUGGGAACUCUGAAACUCUUUUAAACUCGAGAGUUUCUUUUAACCGACAUAAACUAUGUGAGCUAUAUGUAGUCCAACGUCUUGUCCACAUUGGGGAGAUCUAUCCUACCCUUUCCAUCGAAAUAAAACCUUAACUUACGUGAUCACUUAUCUUAACCCACUUGGGGUAAAUCAGAAACCUACGGGGGCACGUAGUUCUGGGGCAUGAGACCUUGGAAUCAUACCCAACUCGGUGCUAAAUACUACUCCCAUACUUAAGCUCAGAACUUUUAGGAAAUCCACCUUAAAAUAAUUCAAGGGUGUAUAAUAAAGACAAAAUAUAUAUUCCUCUUUACUUUAAAUCAUAAUCAAAUAUGGAUUCCUAUCUUAGCUUAGACCCAAGGGGUCAAAUCUUUAACUAAAAUCUGAAAACAGCUUAGUUAUGGGGUACGGACCUUAGCCGAAACUCACACUUGUUGAAUUUGGGGAACAACUAAUGAUCUCUAAGAGUUUGCAAGACAAUUGUAAGAUAAUCUGCAUGGUCAUCCUUAGUAUGGGAGUAAACAAGGAUAUCAUCUAUAAACACUAUGAAAAAUAUAUCAAGAUACUGCUUGAACACUCGAUUCAUGAGAUCCAUGAAAGCCACAGGAGCAUUGGUUAGCCUAAAAGACAUGACUAUAAACUCAAAGUGAUCAUAACGGGUUUGGAAGGCUGUCUUUGGGGUAUCACACUCCCUUACUUUAAGUUGAUGAUAGCCAGAUCUAAGGCCUAUCUUGGAGAAAUAACUUGCAAAUUGCAACUGAUCAAAUAAGUCAUCAAUUCUCAGAAGAGGGUACUUAUUCUUAACUAUGACCUUGUUAAGUUGAUAAUAGUCAAUGCACAUACGCAAAGAACCAUCUUUCUUUCGCAUGAAUAGGAUGGGUGUGCCCCAAGGAGAGACACUAGGACUUAUAAAACCUUUAUCUAAAAGAUCUUUGAGUUGUUCUUUCAACUUCUUAAGAUCUGUAGGUACCAUACGGUAGGGAGGAAUAAAAAUAGGCUGAGUGUCGGAAGAAAGUCAAUCACAAAUUCUAUCUCUCUAUCGGGAGGUACCCCUGGGAGAUAUUUCAAAAAAAUAUCAAGAAACUCAUUAACAAUGUUGGCUGACUGAAUAGUUGGAGUCUCGGACUUAGUUUCUUUAACUCUAACUAGGUGAUAGAUGCAACCUUUGGAUAUUAGCUUUUUGGCUUUGAGAUAGGAGAUAAAAUGACUCUUGGGAAAUACUGAACUCCCGAACCACUCAAAAACUAGUUCAUCAGGAAACUGAAACUUGACCACUUGGGUAAGACAGUCUAUAGAUGCAUAACAAGAAUGAAGCCAAUCCAUACCCAGAAUAAGGUCAAAAUCCAUCAUGUCCAACUCUAUCAAAUCAGCAAGUAUGACUCUAUGAAGAACAAUGAUGGGAUAUAUUUUAUAUACUUGCUUAGAAACAACUGACUCACCUACUGGAGUAAAAACUUAGAAAGGCUCAAGAAUUUUCUCGGGACUUAUUUCAAAAUUCACAGCUACAAGUGGGGUCACAUAAGAGAAACUUGACCCGGGGUCCAACAACACAUAAAUAUCAAAGUGAAAUACAUGGAGCAUACCAGUGACAACAUCAGGAGAAUCCUUCUAUUCCUAGCAAAAUGGUAAGGCGUGGAAUCUGUUCUAGUGCUGACCGCCAGCAGUACUGGAUGAAGCACCCUGAGGAGCAAAUGGAUGGGCUAAAAGAGCUGGGGCACUAGUAUCCUGAGUCUGAGGUUGCACAUCUUUGUUCCCCCACCUAGCAUGUGAGCAGUUUCUAAGUCUGUGGCCAUCUUUCCAUAACCAAAAUAAACCCUCUGUACGUCCAAACACUCACCGGGAUGGAUCCUACCAGACUUAGCACAAGGAGGAUUAUUAGGUCUGUUUCUCACACUGUUCUAAAACCUGGACAUAAAGGGCCUGUUCCCUUACUCCUGCCUAUUUUAGUGGAGGGGGAACUAGCUGAUGAAGGCACUGGCAUAGACGAAUGGCUCUAAAACUAUGAAUGGUUCCCUCCAUGGAACCUGGUUUGACUAUACUCAUGCUACUCGGAUCUAGCCCUCUUGUUUCCCUACUCUAUCUUUCUCCCUUAUCUUGUCUGCCUCUAUCUACUAUGCAUGCAUUAUCAAUCAAGAAAAAUCCAUAUCCCUAUUGAGCAUAGCAGUCCUACAACACCAAACCAGACACACCUCUCACGAACUUGCUCAGAUAAGUUUGGGUGUCAGCAAUCAAAUCAAGAGCAUACUUGGCUAACUAGUUGAACUUCAAGCAGUACUCUUUAAUAGUCAUGGAUCCCUGUCUGAAGUUCAUAAACUCUUCUAUCUUUACUUCCCUUAUCUUUAAUAGGAAGAACUUCUCUAAGAACGUAUCCUGGAAUCCUAACAAGUAAUAAGGGCAGCAUCUUCCCCUCUAUUCUUCCUCUAUGCAACAACUCAAUCAUGAGCAAUGUAUUUCAGAUGAUAAGAUUCCAUCUUUACACUCUCUUUCUCAGAAAUAUGCAUGACUUGAGUGAUCUUCCUCACCUCCUCAAGAUAUAAUUGUGGGUCAUCACAAGCCUUAGACCCAUAGAACUCUGGCGGAUUCAUCCACUUGAAGUCACGGAUCCUAUUACUAGCUAAGUCACCUCACUGCUAAUGCGAAACUACGGCUUAGUUAUUAGCUUGGAUAUUUGCAGUGACUGCUUGGGCUAACGGCAGAAAGGUUGCCCAAAAAUCAGCAUGAGACACAGUCUCAUUCAAGGGAUCAACGACUGAGGUUGCUCGUUAUUGUUUCUGUGGGCAUUCACUCUUCGGGAAGGUAUUUUUUGAAAUAACAAAGCAUGAAUUAAUAGCUGAGAGCAACAACUGUAAGCACGAUAGAUUUUAAAUGAAAGAGAUAACUUUUUCCUAAAAUGUCUAGUAGCCUCUUGCUCAUAAAUGUGGCACACUACACACCUAUUAUCAAGACUCUACUUAACGCGGCUUGUCAGACUCCCUAGGACUCCUUAAACCUUAGGCUCUGAUACCAAGUUUGUAAUGCCCCAAAAUCUUAUCUUGAGAUGUCACACAGUGCUUAAAGCUACAAGUAGCUCUAAGCUAACCCUUUGAACCUGUUACUACUUACAACACUUGCUUUAUGAUAAAUAAGCUAAACAAUGAUACUUUAUUGGGUCAACAAUAAACCAAAAUAACUGGAAAUAAUGUCUGAAUAGCAAAAAUACUAAUAAUCUGGAACACAACUUUAAUUGACAGUUUAGUUUAACAAAGCCUCUACUACUCAAACUGGAGAGCCAUUGGGACAGACCCCCAACUGACUCACUAUGACCUAAAAGUAAAACUCAAACCACUGUGAAAAUGGGAAAGCUGCAAGUAUAGGCCCUCAAACUAUGAGGACUCACCAACUGUAGAAUGUAGACAAAGGUACUCGAUAAUCACGGUCACUACUGAGAUGAGCACUUGAACCUACAUUAUGAGAUAAUAUAGCACACAGACGUAUAUGUGGAUCAGCACUUUGGGAAUGUACUGAGUAUAUGGGGGUGUAUGCAUUUACAUAAAACAAUAUCAAUACUCUUUAAUAAAAUCAUGCAUGCAAAUAGGAAUGACUCACAUGCCUUGACUAAGUCUAAAAUAUAAAACUCAUAAAUCAUAAAUAGUGAAACAUGUAACACAAAUCUCGUGAGUCAUUAUACUUAACUUUAAAAUCUAUACUCUCCUCUUAUUAUCAGUACUUGAAGGCUAAGGAAGCUUUAAAUAAUACUUUCAAACUCAUGAUUUUUUCUUGUCGAGAGUAAAUAUUCUUUAAAACUUCGAGCUUAUAGAACUUUUAGGAACUUUUAACACUUGGGAACUCUGGAACUCUUUUAGACUCAGGAGUUUGUUUUAACCGACAUAAACCAUGUGAGCUAUAUGGAGUCCAACAUCUUGACUACGUUGGGGAUAUUUGUCCUACCCUUGCCAUCGGAAUAGAACCUUAACUUAAGUGAUCACUUAUCUUAACCCACUUGGGGCAAAUCAGAAACCUAUAGGGGGCACAUAGUUUUGGGGCAUGAGACCUUGGAAUCAUACCCAACUCGGUGCUAAAUACUACUCCCAUACUUAAGCUCAGAACUUUUAGGAAAUCCACCUUAAAAUAAUUCAAGGGUCUAUAAUAGAGACCAAAUACAUAUUUCUCUUUACUUUAAAUCAUAAUCAAAUAUGGAUUCCUAUCUUAGCUUAGACCCAAGGGGUCAAAUCUUUAACUAAAAUUUGAAAAUAGCUUAGUUAUGGGAUACUCGUGACCUAAAUAGUCUUGAACAAUAAAUCUUUAAAUGGGGGUCUAUUGACCCAAACAGUAAAUCUCAAGUCAACAUCUCAAAAUUCAUGCUUAAGAUUGUAAUUGCUCAUAAGGUAUCUUGAAAUUUGUAAGUCUCAUCAAUAAGCAUAGAAAUAUAUGAAAAUUCAUGCUAUUUGACUUUUAAUUCAUGGGAAGUAUCAAAACCUUGCAACUAAUGAUAAUAGGUGAAAAAUCCUAACUCAAUUUCACAUAAAAUCUCAUAAAUUGCAGAAAACUUGUAAUUUAAAAUAAGCCUUUGAGCACAAGGGUGAAAGGAUUGCCCUUGUUCAAACCCCACACACCUUAGAUUGUGAAAUUAGAUGAACAAUCUAGCUUGAGACUCUUUUUGGAACUCUUAAGGAAAGGUUCUUGAAGCUUUUGACUUGGGAACUUUGAAUCUUAACUCAAUUUGAAAAAAUUAUGGUGAGUUCUUGAAUUUCUUAGUGAAGGAAUUUGAGUUUGUUCUUGAGGAAUAAACCUUAGCUUUGAGAUGCUUUUGGAUGAACUGAAGUCAUCUGGUUUGUUUGGGUAUAUUAAGUUGUAAAAAGGGUGGAAAAGACCAAAAAGCCCCUUCUAAAAAUGACUUAAAAAUCACUGAAUGAAAUAUGCGACGGUAGGUGUGAUGGUCCAUCGCUGGGUCGACAGACCGUCGGUCCUAACCAUCGUACCUAGGCCAGAUUUUGACUUCUACCUUGCCUACGAUGGCUAGGUCGACGAUCCGUCACUAGAUCGACGGUCCAUCGCGCCUAACCAGAAUAAGGUCUAACUGUCUCCUCUGCGACGGUUUGGGUGACAGUCCGUUGCUAGCUCAAUGGUUCGUCGGACUUCUCCAUCGCACCUGUGCAAUUCAGACUACUUUCUAUAAUUUGGCUAUAUCUUUCUCUUCUGAUGUCAGAUUUUGAUGAAAUGGGUAUCGUUGAAAAGAUAAUUCAAUUUCCUACAUGAUAAAAAGUUAUUUUUAGGAAAACUCUAUAUGAUUUAAAUUCUAAUCACUUUUGAAGUCAUUCUUAAAUCUUUUAGAGACGGAAUAAGGCUUCACUUGACAUGUUCUAAAGGCUCAGACUAUGAGGGAACUUUAUAGGGUCUUACAGUUUUGCUAUGGGAGUAAACACGAAUGUCAUCAAUGAAGACUAUAAUAAACAUGUCCAAGUACUGCUUGAACACUAGGUUCAUGAAGUCCGUGAAGGCUUCUGGGGCAUUCAUGAAACCAAAGAACGUGACUAGAAAUUUGAAAUUACCAUACCGAGUUUGGAAAGCUAUUUUCAAAAUGUCACAUUCCCUGACUCUAAGCUGAUGAUAUCCUGAUCUAAGGUCUAUCUUUUAAAAAUAGCUAGCACUCUAAAGUUGAUCAAAUAAGUCAUCGAUUCUAGGAAGUGGAUAUUUAUUCUUGACUGUGAAUUUUUUCAACUGAUGGUAGUUAAUGCAUUUUCUGAAAGAACUGUCUUUCUUACGCAUGAAUAGAAUAAGUGUGCCCCACGGGGAGAUGCUGGGUCUAAUGAAUGCCUUAUCUAAAAUAUCCUUUAAAUGUUCUUUUAUCUCCUUGAGUUUAGCUGGAGCCAUUAUGUAUGGCAGGAUAGAUAUGGGUUAAGUAUCUGGUAGAAGGUCUAUUUCGAAGUUGAUUUCCCUUUCGAGAGAAACUCCGAGAAGAUCUUCAGGAAAUACAUCUAAGAAUACAUUUACUACUGGAACUAAUUUAAGAGUUACAGCCUCUGAUUUAGAGUCUUUGACUCACACAAGAUGGUAAAUACACCCAUUUGACAUCAUCUUUCUCGCUCUAAGAUACGAAAUCAACUGACCCCUAAGAGCUAUGGUACUACCCCUCCAUUCAAGGACUGGUUCAUUUGGGAACUAAAAAUGAACUAUUCUAUUUCUAUAAUCAACUGAGGCAUAGAUGAGUGGAGCCAAUCCAUGUUGAGAAUGGCGUCAAAAUUUGUUAUCUCUAACUCCACGAGAUUAACUGAAGUAACUUUCUAGGAUAUUGUGAUCAAAAAGUUCCUGUAUAACUGUCUGGCUAUAAUGGAAACACCUACUGGGGUAGACACUGAAAAGAGAUCUUCUAGAGUUUCAGGACUGACUUCAAAAUUGAUGGCUAAAUAUGGAGUUACAAAAGAAAGAGAAGCAACAGGGUCUAGUAAGGCAUAAACAUAUAAGUAAAAGACCUACAACGUUCCAAUAACUAGGUCAGGAGAAUUUUCUUGAUUUUGGCAGGGCUGAAGAGAAUAUAAUUUGUUUGAACACUGACCAUUGGUAGCACUGAAAGUGGCACCCUUCUGAGUUGGGCGACCGGAUAGAACUAACGACUGAUGGGACUGGCUCUGUUGGCACAUAUCCCUACCUUUCUGAGAAACUACCUGACACUCCCAAAUUUGAUGACCUGAAUUGCCACACCCAAAGCAUAUAUCAAUACCCAUUCUACACUCACCCUGAUGGUGUUUGCCAUAUUUUUGGCAUAGAGGAUUUGUACGAGCACUGCUAACACUGACCUAGGACUUAGAGCUUGGUGCUCUAUCCCUAUUGUCAUUUCUGAAUUUGGGUACGGGAGCACUGGCUGAAGAGGAUGCUGGGGCUGAAGACAUCUGAUAAAAUUAAGGACGUUUACCAUCCUCUGACUUUGGCUGACUGAAGUUAAAACUACCCAUCCUAGCCCUCUUGUUUUCUCUCUCUACUUAAUCUUUUGCUCUUCUAUCUAUUGAGCAUGGACCAUCAGCCUAGACAAGUGUAUUUCACUAAUUAUUAUUGCGAUCCCACACUCCUUGACCACACUAUCAGAUACGUCAGACACAAACUUACUCAUAUUAGACCUGUUAUCAACUACCACAUGAGGAGCACAUCUAUCUAACUGAGUAACCUUGAGGGAAUACUCCUUCACGCUCAUGCUGCCCUACCUCAAGUUAAUAAAUUAUAACACCUUGGCCUCUCUCAAAUCCAAUAGAAAGAAUCUAUCUAAGAAAUUUAUAGCAAACUCUUCCCAUUCUACAGGCCCUACAUCAACACCUCUAUCAACUUUUUACUGCUUAAACCAAGUAUGGGAUACAUCCUGCAACUGGUAUGCAGCCUACUCAGCACUCUGACUAGAUGUCACCCUUAUAGAAUCUGUGACCUUCUGAACCAUAUCUAAGAAUUCCUGUGGAUCUUCUACAGACUUAGAUCCCGUGAAAGAAGGAGGAUUCCUCCGGGUGAAAUCCUAAAUUUUGGUUGCAGCAGUAUUGGCAACUAGGUUACUAAAACAGCAGUUGGUCGUUCAUUCUAUACUGCUAUGGAGUUCUCCAGAGUAGUGAACGUAGCUCUGAAUUAUGCGUGAGAGACAUGCUCGUCCAGAGGAUCUUCUUGGAUAGGCUGAGAGGCUAGCUGAUUUCCUGUUCUUCUUAUAUUUUUCUUAGAAGGCAUGUUCUAUAAAUGGAAGAAAGAAUUUGAUUAGACAGGGAUUUUAACUUGAUCUCAUGCUCACUCACACGAUAUGAAUACUGAAAGAAGGGAAACUUUUCCUAAAUGCCUUAUAGCCUCUCGUCUAUAAGUGUGGCGCACUACAAACCCAUGCACAAGACUCUACUUGACGUGGCUUUUAGACUUUCUAGGACACUUUAAAACCUUAGGCUAUAAUACCAAGUUUGUAACGCCCCGAGAGCACACCCCGGAAUCACACAGUGCUUGUAGUCCCAAGGGACCACAAGCUAACCCAUGAGCUGGUACCUACUGUGAGCACUGGAUAACAUGAUUAUAAAUAUGGAAGAAAACUUACACACCAUAAGGUUUUAAUAACUAAAUUCAAAACUGAACUAUAAGUCUAUAGAAAUAACUAACUGAAUCUGAUAAAAUACUGAUAAACUGGAUAACUAACUGUAAGGUCUGAAUACUGAAUAACUGACUCUAAUAUCUGAUAAGCUUCUAAAACUAAAUAAUUGUGAGUUGAUGGGACAGGUCCCAUCUAACUCCAACUAACUACUAAACUAAUACAUGAAAUAAAGUAAGCCUAUCCUUGAAGUAUGGGGACUCACCACUUCUACUGCUGAGGAUCUAAUAAGUCUAAUCGUAAGCCGCGAACUGAGCAUCAGAAUCUAUGAUAUAAUACAUCAUAGCGCAAAAGAAAAAGUAUAUGAUCAGUACUUUGAAUGUACUGAUAUGCUAAAUUAGGUAGGCUGGUAUGUAUGGUUUCAUGAACAAAACUAAUAAUUAACUGAAUAUGCAUGUAAAGCAUGGAGUACUGAAUAGAAAGCAUGAAAAUUUUAGAUACUGGGAAUAUAUGGAAAUCUGUAAAUACUGAGUAUACAUGAAAAUCUAUAAAUACUGAAGAUAUAUGAAAAUCUGUAGAUGCUGAGGAUGCAUGACCAAGCAUAUAACAUAAACUGAGUAAAAUCUGUAAACCAAAAUACUGAAAUAACUAAAAUCUAUAUGCUUUGGUCAAACAACACUAAGAUUGAAUAACUGAACUGGGACUGUAACUGAGACUGCAUUUGAGACUGUGGGAGGUAUCAUCUAACCGACAUUCCCCAAUUUGAGCUAAUAGGGGUCCAACCUGUAACCUCAAUUGGAUGAGUUUUACUACCAUGCCACAGGUACUAACAUUGGCUGUGUGGAUCCACUAAAUUAAUAUAAUAUCUAAAGGACUAAGGGUGUCAAUCCUGAACUGAUAGGUGACCCCUGCGAGAUAGUCAACCCUAAUCUGAUGGGUGACUUUUCAUAUCCUAUGUUGGCUACGUAGUUCUGGAAUAUAGGGACUGCUACUAAUGAAUCUGCCUAUCUGGUGGGGAAGCUUCCAUCCCUACACUCGCUCGGUGCUAAAUCCUACUCCCAACUGAAAAACACUAAAAUACUAGACUAUUCUAAUUUUAACUAACUGCUAUUUGACUGUCCUGAUAAUGAUCAUAGUAUGUUCUGAAGACUAUUCUUUAAUGUACUGAUAAUAGACUAAAUAAACAGUUAUGGUUUUCGGGUAUUCAAUACCCCUAGGACUCAAAAACACUAAUAGUAAGAGGACACAAAAACUUGAAAGACAUAACAUGAAGGUUUUUAUUAAAUCAAUCACUCUUCCGGGCAUUUUAUCAAAUGCUUGUACUUCAUAGUUUAGUCAAUUCAUGGGAAUAGUAUAAAACUUGAACUAAUAGCAUGAUUUCAACCUUUAUAACACUAAAUCAUGAUCUAACUUGAAGAAUGACAAUAAUAAAACAUGUGGGAAUUGACAACAAUGAUAAUUUCAUUAAAGUAUGGUAUAAAAUCAAUAUUCAUGGAAGUUCAUGGAGAUUCACAGUUUAAAAUCACAAUUUCAUAUCAUAAAUCUUAAAAAUAUGAUAGAUUUGUAAUAAAAAUGGAUACUUGGACUCCAUGGAUGAAAGGAAUCCAUGGAUGAACAUCUAACAUACCUUAAUUGAUGGAUUUCUUGAAGUUCUUGGUGAAUUCUUGAGGAUUGACCUUGAAUUUGAGAGCUAGGAUUUGUAUUUUUGAGAGAAAGCUCUUGAAUUUAGAGAAAAAUUAAGAGAAUGAUGAAGUAAUAGGUUAAUUAGAGGGGGGGGAUUUCAUGUUAAAGGCUGACUGGGGUGAGGGGAAAAAGACUUUAAUGCCCUCAAAUUAGAACUCAAAAUUACUGAAAAAUUCCCAAUUUUGUAGGCUGGUACGAUGCGGCGCUAUUAUAUUGUAAUACUAGAAUUGGAUAAUUGGGAAAAUACAUGGUGAUGCAAUGCGGUGCAAUUACGUUGCCACCUUGUUUGCGACCUGGAAUCUCACCGCGACGCGGUGGUAUCAUAUGGGAUCACUGGAAAUUGACAAUUCUAAACUGAGCCUAUGGCGCAAUGCGCCAACAUCACAAAGGCUCACUGGUUUUUGACAAUUGUCAUUUAGGCCAGCUCUACGACGUGCUAAGGGUUAAAAUGACGGUGUUUAACGACUGAAACUUAAAAUUGCCAUAACUUCUUACCCAGUUAUUGAAUUUAGGCAAAUUUUAUAUCGUUGGAAAGCUAAUUUCCUAAGUAAUGGCAGACUCUAAAUUGACAAAAAUGAGUGUUUCAAAAAUUUUAUAUAUGAAUACCAUGUAUUGGGAAUUAGAUUAUGCUAAAGAAAUACGGGGUAUUACAAUAAUAUAAUGAGACAUCCAGAACAAAGUCAAGACAACACUCAUAUAUAUUUAGAGAGAGGCUAAAAUAAAACAUAUAUAAAAGCCCCAAAAUAUGAUGUCAUAAGUCCAAGUGCAUCUAAUACAUAAUUGAAUAUCUGAAUACACAACUUUGUCUCUAAAAAUGAGUAAAGACAAUAUAAGUACAAUGGAGGCUUAAAAUUAGCUCUAAACUCUAUAGCAUGCUAGUACCUCGAAUGUCAACUUUGAGUAGCUUGAAUUAGCUGCCAUAUCCCGUACUCAAGCUUGGAUUUGCACCUAAAGGGCAGAGUAGGGAUGAGUACGGUCCACUUGUACUCUGUAGGUAUCAUAUAAAAAUAAUGCAAAGUAGAAAAUAAUAAAAUUAAAAGAUACUAUGAGCAUGUCAUAUGCAAACAGAAAACUUCUAAAAUGAUAGCUCACAUCUCCACUAAUAGUUCUAUAAUAUAAUAUUGAUAUAGGAAUAUCUAAGUAUGAAAACAUAUAUGGAAAGUAAGAACAUAUCAAGAAUACAUAAAGAAACACAGAAAAUACAUAUGCAAUUCAAUGAAAUGAUGAUGUGAUCAUGAUGAGUAAUUGAAAGUCAUCGUAUGACUUUUUCUAUACACCUAUCGAGCCUAUAUGCUCCCAAGAUAGGGCCCAUGGAGAGUUUGCAGCUUACAUCUACCUCAAAUCUUAACUUACCUCUUGACUAGUGUUCACGGAUCAAGGAUUUUAUAAAGUGUCACAUUCACCUCUCCGACUAUUAUUCACAAAUCAAGGGUUUUAUAAAAAUGUCCUAUUUCUUUUGAAUUAGUGUUUCUCAAUGGUACCAUGUAUUAUAAUAUGUAUAUAUGAAAUGAGGAUGAAAUUCUCAUAGCCAAUCAGUAUAAAAAUAGAAAUCUAUUCAAUACCUAUAUAAAUAAGCUCAGAAUUUACUCAAUGUAUCAAUAAUUCAUUAUAUCAGUUCUUUCUAGGCACCACCAGAAUAUAUAGGCAAUUAAGAUAUCAAUAAUAUUAUUUUAACACUUAAAAAGGUAUUUUCAUCAUGAUGGAGCUAAACAAUGCUCAAAAAGGCCUAUAACAUCUAUUCAGGCUCCUGCACAGACAUCACAUUAAUAAUAAUGGUAAUACACAAAUAAGGCAUAUAAUAACAAAUAAAGCCCUCACACAAGCAGUACACAAUAUAUGAUAUCUCAAGUCAAUAACAAUAAGCAUAUAUGCACCCACGCAGGCACACAAUAGUAACAAUAAUAUUGAAAUAAUGCUCACAUGGCUAAUCUCCCAAAUUUAUAGCAUGUUUUACUCGUUUAUUAACUAUCCAGCCUAGCUUAAAGAAAAUUAAGCCAUAACCUACCUCAUAGUAAUGAAAAUACGAGCCUAAAAUAUUCAACAUAGAGUCUUCCCCUUUCAAUCAGUCUUGAAAUGAGGUAAAACAUUCAAAUAUAGAAAUUAUGCACUAAAAAAAACUCAUGAUACCCAUAAUGAUUAUAUUUAAAACGGUUCCAAAAUGGAUUCAAAAAUAAAAGGGCUAAAACUGAAAUUUUAUUUUAAAAAUAUUUUUCCCGAACUAUAGGAGUCUGUAGUUGAAAACUUAAGUAGAAACAAGUUAUAAAAAGAGCUCAAAUUGAAGAAAAACUAUUUUAAAGAUUAACAAUAAAACCCCCCAAAUUCUAGUUCAAAAUUAGGAUUAAAGAGUAUUUUUGAUGAUAUAAUUGAUGAAAAUUAAUGGAAACAAGAUUUUUGAGCUAACCUAAGCACAAAUGGUGAAGAAAAUCCUCAACAUUGCCCUAACCCAAAGUUUCAAGGUAGAAAUUGCAAAAAUAGAGUAUUUUAUACUAUUCUAUAAAGUACCUUGAAAUUGUGGACUCCACCUUCUGAGUACGAGGUUCAAUUAUAACCAACAAUUAAGUUGGUCAUCGCAAUCGUAUAAUUGAGCCUCGCAGUUAUGAUGAAUCAAUCUAACUUGAACUAUUGAUUAAUCCAUCACAAUUGCGAUAUCACCACCACGUGAUCACGAUAAAGGCUAUCAUCGAAGCCUGUUAUUGCAACAAGUGUCUAUGAGAUUGUGAUGAAGGUCCUAAUGUACCAGGAAAUAUUGCACCAACAUUUGGGAUCUUUGGAGAAAUACUUUGAUUGAACGCUCGAAAUUUAUUCGGGACCUCAUAGAAGUUAACCGUAUAUGCUACUAGUCUACUUUUGAAGUCCCAAAAUCAAUGACAAUAUUGAAUUCUCAAAAAUAAAUCAUUUACAAUGAACUAUCUCUCGCGAUACUAUUUAGGCAUUUUCACUAGUUUUUGAAUGAAGGGUCGAAAUGCAAAAUAAAGGAUCUGAGCCCAAAUCAACCCUGUUACUAAUCCAAAAUUAAUAUCCCAGAUCUAAUGGAACUGAAAAUAUCAUCAUCUGAUGCUGGAAUUAAUAAGUAGUUAUCAAAGUUAAACUAAUGGCUUUUAAAGCCUCUUUGGGUCUCAAACUCUCCUAAAUCAUUUUUGAAUGCAUCAGGGAUCGUCCCUACUAUACCAUACCUUAAAAUCAGCAUGUAACAACUCCGAAGAAAAAAAUAAUCAAAAUGCAUAAAAAGAAAAAUUAUUCAUAACAGGUUGUUACAAAAUAUCUGAACUUCAAUCAAAACUCCCAAUAACAAACAUAAAGUUAGACUUUAAUUUGUCAAAAUUAACAUUAGGUACCGCUUGUCUAAAGUGCAGCUGAUUGAGAUGAGAUAGUGUUGCAAGAAUUUAUAAACUUAAGAAUAACUUUAAUAUAGUAAUUCCAAAAAUCGGGUAUAUAUACACUUUCUAAUCAGGUAUCUAUGCACUCUCUCCUAUUUUCAUUAUAACUAUCUUGUAAAAUUAUUUUCAAGUUUUGGUAGAAUAAUAAAAAUUAUUUGUGUUCAAUUUUCACAAAUUUUGAUGGACUUGAUGAAACUAUCUUCAUUAUACUUAUCUAUUAAAAUGUUCACAUGAUAAAAUUCUCGAGAAAUUUUCAAAAAAAAAAUAGUAAAACUUAUUAAUUUCUUAUUUUACUAGGUUUCGUUGUAUGUAUUUCUCUACCCAAAAAUAGUUAUAACAUUGAUUUUUUUUCUUUCAAAUUUUACCUUUGUUAUUACUGUUUCAAUUUAAAAAUAAUUUACAGAUUAAUAGUGCAACAUACAUAAAUCAUAAUUUUUACUAUUUUUUUAUGAAACGAGUACAUUACAAAAACAUAAUAAUAAAAUUACAUAGUUGCUACAUAGUUAACCAUACAUUGGUUAAAGUUACAAGUUUCACUUGCUCUACAAAACAUAGUUCCAGAGAUGUUUGCCCAUAAUGCAUCCUUGACAAACAUUGGCAGAACUAUCAAAAUAUUAGUUUUUUCAAAAAAUAUCUCCUUAGAACCUUCCUAAGCUAGCAUAUUUGUUAUUCGAUUUUGUUCUCUAUAAACUAUUCUUUAUGACUGGAUUGCCCAGCUUCCUCAUCAAUAACCUGCAUUUAAAUAAUGAAAUUAUAACACAAAGGACCAUUAUUAAUCAUGUGAAUUACCUCAGUCGAGUCUAGGGACACCUCCAAAGGAAUGAGUUCUUAGUCUAGAGCUAGGGUCAGGCCCUGCUUGAAAGCAAGUAGCUUAGCCAUGUUGUUGUUAGUGUGGGAGAUGCUAUGUAUAAAAUCCCACCACCCGAUCUCUAUUAUUAUUUUUUAUGAAACCUCCAGUGCCUCUCUUCCCUGGGUUCCAAGAGCAAAACCAUCAGUGUUAAAUAUAUAGUGACACUUAAUGGGGGUAUGCACUUAACUUGGAUGGUUUGAGAGGAGAUGGUAGUAGCAUUAGCAUAGGCAAUGAAUGUAAACUCCAUAGCCAUGGCAGUGGUAUUAAUAUAUAAGAUAUUCUCAUUUUUAUUGUUUAAAAGGAAAUUUUUUCUAGUUAGCCAGAUACUUCGGGGGCAAAAAUACAUGAUGUUUUCCCAACAAAGAUGAUUGUUGAAAAAUUCUCCAUUGUUUAUUUUGUAGAUUUGGGUCAUGUGACCAUUGAGAGGAUAGAUUGGUGCAUUUUUGACAAUGUUAUGCUAAAAAAGUCUAGCAUUUGGGCACUCAAAGAAUAUGUCGUAAAAAGUUUCAUCUCCUAAGCAACAAAAGUUACAAGAAAUGGAGAUGUUAAGAUCAAUGUGGUAGAGGUAAGAGAAGGUAGGGAUCCUGUUUGGUGCAAGAGCCAGAUGAAAAAUAUGAUCUUAUUAGGAAUUUUUAGAUUUCAGAUCUAGCUAAAAGAUAUCCUAUCGGGAUUGAUAAGAUCACCACAUUUGUAGGCAGAGCUUAAAGAGAACUUACCAUUUUUGGUACCACUCUAAAUGAGUUUCUUUCUAUCACUAUGAUUAAGGAUAAAUACAGUUGUAAGUAGGUUCUUUGUUUCUUCAAAGGUUGCUGACCUUGAACCCCUCUUCUCGAAUGGUUAAAAGGUCAAUGAAGUGAUCUCUAAUACUGUUAUGUGGUCGGGGGUCCAUCUAUCUUGAAAAUUUAACUCUGUUCUCACCAUUCAUAGUCCAUUUAGCCCCCUUGCCAUAGAUUUUCAACCCCUCCUAAUAAAUUUCCAAACCCUUAUGCAUCUUUUAAUCUCAUUAUCAGCUCUAUCAUAAUGUAUAUGGAAAAGCACUUUAGCCUAGAGGGAUUCAAGACAAUGGUACAUUCUCCAAGAAAGAAUAAAGUGACUAGAAAGGUUCUAGUGCCAGCUUUUUGCAUAUUAAGCCCCCAUGUUCUUAGUCUUAGUAAUAGUCUUCUAGCCAAUGAGGUAAAGUUUUUUUCUAGAAGAUGAGGUGCCCUAAAUGAAGUCUCUUUAGAUACUAGCAAUGAGCUCAUUGAUAUGUAUAGGUAUUGUGAUGAAUUGCAUAAUGUAGCUAGGUAUAUUGGUGAGCUAUACUUUAGCUAAAGUAGUUCUACCUAUCAUGUUUAAACAUUUGGUAUUCCAUCCGCAAUCUUGAAGUGUGUUCUACCUUGGACAAAUUUAAAUUCAUUGUUUCUAUAUUUAUUAUAAAAUAUUGGACAGCCUAAGUAUGUUCUAAAAGUGGAGUUUGUUCUAAUAGAGAAGUUGGAAGAGAAGGAGGACCUAAGAUUUUCCUUGCAAUUGACAGAGAAAAGGACUUUGGAUUUGAAGAAAGAAAAUUAAUCUUUUAGCUAGACAAGCUUAUGAAAUUUUUGAGAUUAUUUGUAAUAGUAGCAAAAUUCUUAGCUUUAGCUCUUGUAAACAAUGAAAGAUCAUCAGCAAAAAACAAAUUAGAGACUUUAGGUUCGGCUCUAUUGAUUUUGAUAGGGUACUAAUUAUUACUCUCCACUUAAUGAUUAAUAUCCUUAUAUAACAUUUUCAUACAAAGAAUGAAAAGGUAAGGAAACAUAUGGUCUGCUUUUCUAAUACUUUAAGAGAGGAGGAAAGUGGAAGUUUUUCCUUCAUUGACAAACUUAGAGGUGGAGGGAAAAGGGACACAAGAAAGGAUGACCUUCACCAACUUGGAAGGAAAAUUAAAACUAAGGAGGGUGGAAAAUUAAAACUAAGGAGGAUAGACAUAAUAUAGGACCAUUCCAAUCUAUCAAAAUUCCUUUCUAGGUUAAUUUUUAGGUUCAUGCUACCAGCUUUCUUUUCAUAUUUUUAAAGUGAGAGAGAUACUCCUAAACAAUAAUAACAUUAUCAUAAGAUCUUCUACCAGAUAGGAAAAUAGAUUGGUAGUUACCUAUAAUAUAAGGGAGAAUUGGUUUGACUUUAUGUACAAUAAUGUUGGUGAUUAGUUUGUACUAGUGUGGUAAAGAUUUAUGAAUUUGAAUUUUUUGAGAGUGUUGGCAUUUGGGAAUUUAGGGAUGAGUCAAAUGAGAGUACAAUUUAUGUUAGGUCCAUCUAAAUUUUUGCAAAGGUUCUCAUGCAAAAGGUUGUGACCCUAUAUUUAGGGAUCUCCUAAUACUUCAAAAAGAAAAAAGAUAUGGAGGUCAUCUAGGCCCGGGGCCUUAAGACGCUUGAAAAAACACAUAGCAUUUUUAUUUCCCUAGAGGGUUCAACAAGGAACAGAAUUUGUGAUUAGACAGUGUAGGGCUCUCAACCAGGGGAUUUAUAAUUUCUAAUGGAGAAAGAAAUCUCAAUACAGUAGAGGCUGGAAGAAAAGGAAAUGACAAUUUUUAGUAGUCUGAUGGUCAUUAACCUUAUUGCCCACCUCAAUAGAGAGAGAAAAUUAUAUUUAUUCUUCUACUAACUAUUGCAGGAGUGUGAAGAAAAUAUUAUAUUGGCAUCUCCCUCAGUUAGCCAAGAGAUUAUAGCCUUCAUUUUCUAGAAAUCCUCUUCAUUCUUAGGAUAAAAGAGUACUCCUCCUAGAGUUCAGCUUCUAGGCUUUGAAGGAAAAAAUUAUUGGGAUGGUUAUCAAAUUUCUGUAUUCCUCCCUACCAAUCCAAAACCCUUUUCUUUCUUUAGAAAAAUGUUGCUAAAUAUCUUUUAUUCCACUAUUUUACUUCUCUUUAAAAGUGAGCAGUGAAUUCAAGGAUACUUCAAUCAGUACCAAAUAAUGCCUAGCAACAUUAGAAAAGGUGGGGUGACUAUACCACUUGGUUCAAACAUGCAGAUUUUACCAUGGGUGUUUCUAUAUUGAUGAUCAAGUUGAAUAAGCAUAAAAAAAUGGUUAAAGUAAGUCUUAACUAAAUAGGUGACUCGAGCCUCUGGAUAGUUAAGCAUCCAACCUUAAUUAGCAAGAUAUUUAUCUAUCCUUACCAAAAUUAGGUUUGGAGAACCUAUUGUUACACCAGGUGUACUUUCUCCCGUGGACGUCAAGAUCUAUGACUUACAACUGUUAAUGCAAUCCCAAAUAAGAUAGUUCUAGGAUUGAUUAUACAGUUUCCUCAACUUUUAUCUUUGGUUUUUAGGACUAUAGUCCUAUUUAACAAACCAAGGGCAAAACAUGGUGGGGGCUCUUGACUUAAAAUUACUCCAAAAUCCCUACGAGUGGCAUGGUGACUACUAGAAUAAACAAUAAUAAAUAACCAAGGAGUUGAAUUAGAGCCAACCUUGACAAGGAAAUUGAACGCUUGGGUAGAUAUAGAAACCUCAUCAAUAUUCAGGGUGUCUUUAUUCCACAUAACAAUAAUACAUCUAGGGAAGGCCAUAAUAGGAAACUGAAUCUAGUUGUAUACCUCAGAUCUUAGCACAGGUGUUUGUGCUUAGUCAUGUGAGUUUCCAGGAUUACAAGCAUCAAAAGCUUAUGUAUUUUUAUCAUAUCUUCACAUUAUCUCCUGAAUUCGAUAUUGUUUUCCCCUCUACAGUUUCAUAUGAUGAAAUUUAUUAAGAUCUUGUUAGUGUGACUACAAAUUUCAUAUGAUGAACUUUCCCAUUCAAGUUAGGAUUCUUCUUCUCUUCGAUCCCCUUGUAAGGGGUUAGUGUGACUACAAAUUUGGUUUGGAUCUCUAAAUUCUUGCUCUUGAUAGUCAUUGGACAUCUACAUAGGCAUUGUUGUAGUAGUGCUCCUAGGAAAUCCAUCCAAGACUUCUUUAACUUCAUCUCUUAUUUCUCUAACAUUAGCAUUAUGGUUUGUUAAUAGGAUAUCCUCCAAAUCCUUAUUGGAUUUUCUCAAUAUCUCUAGCAUCUACCCCUCGGCUUUCUAUCAUGCCUGAAAUAUUGGUUUGAGGAGUUCCUAUCUGUACCAGGGUUUCUUCUAUUGAGGUUCACCACUUUUGACAAAGUUAUGAAUAAGGUUGGAUCACGGAAUUUGAAUGGAUAAUGACAGCAAAGAAUGGUAAAGUUUGGCCAUCUUGGACUAUGAUAUUGUUGAGCUCUACCAUUGAUAAAGUUUCUUGGUUUUGUAUUAUUUGUGCUUACAUCAGUGUGGUACCCUAGGGAUGACUUCCAAAGUUUCCCCAGUCUUAAUUAAAGCUCUCUGUCAUGAUCUUGGAUAGGAAAUCAAGGUAUUGGAUUAUCACUAUUAGAUGUAUGUCCUUUAUUAUCAUUUUGAGAGUCGAUGACCUUUUGAGAUUUAGAUUCAUCUAAGAGUUGGGUGUGCAAUUUGGUGAUGGUAGAGCAGUGAUCAUGACUAUUUUCUGUUCUGGGAGGUCCAUUGGAGAGCUUAAAGGUACAAGAUUGCUUAUUUUUUGAAAAGUGGGUGAUAUUUUGGGGAUAAGACGGUGAUAUAUGGAGAACUUCGGAGAAUUUAAUGUCCUUCAACUGAUCAGUGCUAGAAAGUUCGGUAAAAAUAUGAUUAAUGGAGGACUUACUUGAUAUCUCAGAAAGUGUCAAAUCAUUUAGGGGAAAACGAUUACCAUUAGACUUCUUGCUCUGUAAUGGAGGCAGAGAGUUUAUGUAGAGAAAUACAGAGGGAGGAUAUUGCCCGCAUUGAAUUGGAAAGGAUAGGUGGAAUUGGUAGGUGUUACAUUGCACGAGUUGACAUGAGAGAGGUAUUAUUUAUUUUGCUUCUAAUAGUUUAUCUCUUUUUUUAAUCUUUUUCAGACUUGACAAAGCCAUUUUUCUAGCUUUUUAUUUCAAUAGUGGGGACUUUCUUAACGUUGUUAAUUUUGUCAACGCUAGUCCCAUUAGGACCACUGAUAGUAGUACUAUUUAAUUUUUUUCUUUUUUUAUAAUUUCACCUAGGGACCCACUUAUAUUCACUUCAUUUUCUUCGAUCUUCAUAUCAUUGCUAGAGAGGAGAUCAUUCUAUUCGGAAUCAAGGAAGGUGAAAACAUUUGAAUUAUUAAAAGUGGGACGAGAGGGUGCAGAGACCUUACCUGUAACUGCAUUGGGUACUUUUACCUUAAUCGGUACUUGUUUAGAUUUUUUGGUUUUCUCUUUCUUCUGAUGAUUGGAUUCCUUCUAUUUUUAGAAAAAAUAAUUAUUUUUCAUUCAUCGACAAUGAUAGGAGUCGUAUUCCUUCUUCCCUCUCCAUCUGAAUUAGUUGGUGGGUUGAAUUUUAGUUAGAAAUUAAGAAUGGUAUGCCUAAUUACCCCAUAAUUUUUGCACAAAAGUCCUUUUCCUCUCAUAAACCAUUGAUUUUUACACAAGAGCCCCCCUCCCCUCAUAAACCAUCGAUUAUUUUUUAUGGCCAAUUAUCACCGAUAUUUUGAUUGGCACUUUCAACGAAGCAAAUUCUUGCAUAUCUUUCUUGGAGAGUCGAUGACGUACAACUAUAAAUCAUUAGGAUCUUUCUGACUUUUCUUCCUAUUUUUUCUAGAAUCAAAGUAUCGUAGAACUCAGUGAGAAGUUUUGAUAAUCUCAAUCAAAUGGCAGUGGAUAAAAUCUUUAUUUCGAUAGAGAUAAAAUUUGAUUCACAUUAUCUCACUAAUAAGAAAUGCUCAGAUACAAAUCAAUACUCUUGGUAAAGCUCUUUAUCCAUGUUUUCUUUUAAGAAAAACUUAAUAGUGUAGGGUGCCAUAACUUUAUUAGUUUGAAUUUGAGAAUUUAGAGUGAUCUUUUUUUUUCAAAUAUAUUGACAAUCAGUGAAUGCGUCCAAAGGCCAUAGAUUCUUUGUGCUUUUUUAAAAGGGUAAAUGAGAUCCUCAUUUAUGAGUGGGCCCUUUCCAAUAUCUUUGUUUAUGAUUUGGCUUUCUUGAAGUAAAGACUUUUUCAUGUUGGGGUUCUUUCCAUGAUUAUUUUCUUGCAGGAGAUUUUUAACUGAUUCUCUAUUUUCAUGAGGGCCUUUUCUUUAUUAGCGGCUCUGACAAUUGGUUGUAUAGAGUUUUAGGGAUUUCCUAUUUCACGAGGGGUCAUUGGGUGUGUGUGGUGAAUUUUAGGGAAUGAUUAGAACUUCUCUUUCUACGAAUAGUGUACUUCAAUUUGUAUAGUCUCUUCUAUAAUUCUUACUAUUUUUGUUGGUGAUUAGGGUUAAAAAGAAUGAUCUUUAAUGUACACAAAAUAAAAUAUGUUAAAUUCAAUAGAUUUUGAGGUAUUAUGCCAACAUAAUAAUUAAUUAUUUAUGUGUAAAAAAUUACAUACUAGAAGAUAGUUAGGAAUUGGAUAGUCUUCACCCUCUUCUAAAUGUUGACAUGAUAAAAAGUGUGAAUAGCCUCUCUUUUAAACAUGUGAGAAUGAAGAAAAAUUGAAAAAUCGAUUUUCAAAUUGAAUGAGACACUUAUUUAAUGGUUAAUUGCCACAUAAUCUAUAUAUUAUGAAAAGUAGAGGACAAAAUCUCUACAUUAAACCAAGUGGAAGCCUUUGAAAUUGACACAUAUAUUUUUUUAAGGACAAGUUAGUUAAUUAGUUAACAAUUAGUUAGUAUUUAUUUUUUAUCUUUUAUAACUUUUUUUAAAAUUCAAAUUUGUAGUUACUUAAAGUUUUUACUGUAUUUUAGUUGUUAAUUAAGUUCUACAGAAUAAUUAAAAGACCAAAAAAAGAGGAAGUUUGAAAUUGGAACUGUUUCUCUAAUUAAGCCAAAUUAUAUUUAUAGAUUUGACAUUAUCUUAACCAGUUGAGGUUUUUGAAUUUAAAACCUAUAACUUGUAUUUAUGCUUAUUUACUUAUUUUCAACUUUCUUGUUUUUUUUCUUUUCUAUUAAUACAAAAUCCCUUCGUCCUUUCUUAACUAUUAACCAUAUAAUUACUUGAAACCAUUUUUAUGUUCUUAAAUUUUUAUCAAAGGUGAUUAUCAAUUAUCUUUAAUUAAUAAUUAUGACAAGAAAUUCAUUGUGGCAUACAAAUCUGAUGAAGCUUCUCGGCAAUCAUAUAGUGACUUUACGUCUACCAGGUAAUAAUUUUUAACUUUUUUCUAAUAGAUUUUGAAUCUAACUCUGAUCUUCAUUUCUAUACUAAGUAGAACAUUCUUAGUAUAGACGUAUUAAAAUACUGUUUCAACCACGUAGAUUUAGAAACUAUGCAUUUACAUGUUUUUGUACAGUAGACAUGUAAAUAUUUCAUUACUCAAAUCAAUAUUUACAUGUCUUUGUGCAGUUUCAUAUUUUAAGCAUUAAUUUGAUAAAUGAAAUUCUAAGGCUUUAUCAAGUAAAAUUUAUAGAAAUGGAGUAGUGAUAUAAAAAUGAAAGAAGAUGAAUUUGUCGUUAUAUUAUUAAGAGAUUAUAAUAUUUUUGAAAUUGUUGUUGUUAUUUUAGGAAUUAUGAAUGAGAAGGUUUGGAAAGUGAAGAGGAACAAUAUAGCAAUAUUUUUUGAUGAUUUUAUACAUCUUAUUUAUUUUUACACAUCUACUUUAUUUUCUUAUGUGUAUGAUAUCUUAAUGUUAUAUGUUUUAUAGACGAAAGAAGUAACAGAGAAUGAGUUAAGAUAAAUCACAACACAAUGUAAUAAUACUAAAUAGUUGCAAAUGUAUAAAUAAAAACAAGGAACAAUAAAGAAAAAAUUGAAACAAAAGAACAGCAUGAAACAAUAGAAGAAUAAGACUUAUAUAAAAUUAAGCUAAAAAAAGGUAAACAACAUAUUAUUGAUAAGUGUAAUUUAAACCCAACACACACAAAUUUGAUAAGAAAUUAUCGCAGGUGAUUGGAUUUUGUUGUUUUGAAAUAUGAUAUAUGAUUUAACUAUUUCUAUUAGUUUUAUGAUUCCAUUAUUUUCUCUUAUUUCUGUUAGUUGUGCCUCAUUUAUCCUUAUUCUUUGCUUUUAUAUUGAAACACAAUUUUACCAUAACAAAUUCAAAGAAAAAUCAUAGAAUAAAUCAAUCAUAGUAUGCUACGUCGUGAACAAUCUGCUUAACUAUAGAAAUAAAUAUAUCCAAAUCUUAGAGUUUUGUUGAGAUGUUUUGGUCUCUUUAUAUAUGUACUACACUAAUUUUCUUGCUAUGUUUAUUCUUUUUUUUUAAGGAAUUUGGUUCUCUCUUCUAAUCUUUAUUUUAUUUAUACUUAAAAAGAUAAGUGCUCUUUCUGAAAACCAUGUAUUAUUUCAUCCACGUAAUAUGAGCAAUUUCAAAAGAGUUUACAUAAAUAUUAGUUCACUAUUCAUGUUGCUUUACUGUUAAUUUAAUAGCAAAAUUUUUUAUCGUUGGUAAUACGAUGUUGUAAUUUUAUUAUUACGCAUGAUAAUUAUUCAAUAGCUUAAGGUGAUGUAUUAUGCAAAAAAAAACUUAGAUUAUACUAAACUAUAGGAGUUGUAUUAUUUUUGAAUUAAAAGCACAUAAUUUAAACGACGUCAGUAAAAAUUUCUAUAAAAAUUUAUGAAUUCAUGAAUAAAUUCUAGAUUAUAUUGCACAUAAUAUAACUUUUACUGUAAUUUAAGAUAGAAGAAACUUAAAUAUAAUCAAGCAAAAACAAAGGUAUUAAUAAAUUUUUAUAAUUUUUAUUCUGAAACAAUUUUCGCGCAUCGCGCAGGUACUAUACUAGUUAUAUAUAUAAGUUUAUUUGUUCCAAAUUGUAAACAUUUAAUAUACCAUACAUAUUUUACCUCAAUUUUAUAGUUUCUUAUUUCUUCUUUAUAUCUCAUGGUUAUUUAUUUCAAACAUGCACUUUCUUUUCCUAUUUUAUAUAGGGGUGGGUGUUCGGUAUUUCGGUUUGGAUUCAUUUUUUUAUGUCAUUUUUUUAUUUUCGGUUAUGAAAUUAGGCGUAACAAAACCAAAUUGAAUUAGUUCGGUUCGGUUCGAUUUGGUUUAUGUAAAUUUUAAUUCGGUUCUAUUUCGAUUUAAUAAUUUUAGUUUCGAUUUUGGGUCUGUUUAAUGGGCUAAAUUAUAUUUGUGAAUUGGAAUAGUUUAACUUUCUUACGUUAAAGAAAAAUCAAUAUAUAAUUAUAAAGUCUUCUAGGUCACAAAUGAGAAUAAUCACCUCCAAUGCAAAAAUUAGAUGGAGGACUAUACAUUUAACUUUUGAUUGCAAAAAUCAAUGCAAAAAGUAAUUUUCGAUUUUGGUUAUUGAAUGUAUUUGAAUUUUGAGGCUUUGAGUUGUAGGCAGUAGUGGGUUAUAGCUAAAGCCUAAAUAGCUAAGGGGCUUAGAUAAUAUAAAUAUUAAAUAAUUAAUAUUAUCUAUAUAUAUAUAUAUAUAACCGAAAUACCGAAUUCAAAAAAAAUAAACCAAAACCAAAUCGAAAUAAUUCGAUUCGGUUCGGUAUUUUGAUUUUUGAUAUUUAUGCUCAACUCUAAUUAUACAUUAUUCACUUUUCUUUUUAGUGAGUUCUCAAAAAGAAUGACACAUUUCUUUAUUUAGUAACAUUUUAACUCUAAUGUUCAUUUUAGAGGGUGUUUAGACUGACUUAUUUUUAAGUAUUUUUGACUUUUAAGCACUUUUUAAAUUUUUGUAGGUUUUUGACAAAGACAAAAAAGUGUCUUUAAGCACUUUGCGUUAAGCUUUAAAAGUACCAAAACAAAUUUAAAAAAAAAAACACAGAAGUCAAAAGCCAAAAGAAAGUAGUAACUUUAAGUCACUUAAAAAAAGUCCAUCCAAACACCCUUUUACCCUUAGGGGUCGUUUGGUUUGAAAAUAAGUUAUACCGGGAUUAGUUAUGCUGGGAUAAGUUAUGAUGGAAUAAGUUAUGGGAUUAGUUAUGCUGGGAUUAUUUUUUAUUGAGUAUUUGGUUUGUUGUAUUCAAAGUAAUAUGCAUGGUAUAAUUUCUAGGAAUAAAUUGAUUGAUUAUCAAAAUGCCCUCCAUCUUAUUUAACUUUUUUUAUAUAUAUAAUUCUUUUUAAACUUUAAAUAUUCAUUCUUAAAAUUUUUUAAUUAUUUUUUAGAGAAAUUAAAAUAUAUAAAUAAACAUAAUUUAUAUAUUUUACAACCAUUUUGAACGGUAAACUGUUCAAAAUUUAUUUNNNNNNNNNNNNNNNNNNNNNNNNNNNNNNNNNNNNNNNNNNNNNNNNNNNNNNNNNNNNNNNNNNNNNNNNNNNNNNNNNNNNNNNNNNNNNNNNNNNNNNNNNNNNNNNNNNNNNNNNNNNNNNNNNNNNNNNNNNNNNNNNNNNNNNNNNNNNNNNNNNNNNNNNNNNNNNNNNNNNNNNNNNNNNNNNNNNNNNNNNNNNUAUAUAAUUAAACAUAAUUAACGUAUAUAUAUUCAUAAUAUUAUACAUUAUAUAUUACGUUAUAUAUUACGUAAUUACGUACAUAAUAUUAUUCAUAAUUAAUGAAUAUAUUAUACGUUAAUUAAACAUAAUUUACGAAUAUAUAAUUUAUAUAUAUUUAUGAAUAUAUUAUACAUUAUUCAUAAUAUCUAUUUAUGUUCAUAAUAUAUAUUUAUACGUUUAAAACAUAAUUAUUAUACAGUUUAUCAGUUUACGUUAAUUAUUAUUAUACAUAUGUAAUUUAUUUAUGAAUAUAUUAUACGUUAAUUAAACAUAAUUUAUUAUUUAUGAAUAUAUAUAUAUGUGUGUGUGUGUGUGUGAGAGAGAGAGAGAGAGAGAGAAAUGAAAAUAAUAGAGUUUGAGGGUAUUUUUGUCCUUUCAUAUAUUUAUCCCAAGGAUAAAUUAUGGUGGGAUUGUUAUCCCACCAAUUGAGUGGAUAACUUACCCGGGACUAUUUAUUAGUCCCGCGAUAAGUUAUCCCGAAUAUUGCCAACCAAAUAUGUUAUAGAAAAUUUUAUUCCGAGAUUAUUAUUUUAUCCCGAGAUUAUUUGCUUCAACACCUCAAACCAAACGAGCCCUUAGAGGUCGUUUGGUGUGAGGUAUAAGGUGUAAUAGUCCCAGGAUGAAAUUUAAGAUUAUUUUAUCCCGUGUUUGAUUGGAGACAUAACAUAACCGUCGAUUAUUUAUUCCACCAUUUAUAUCAUAGUGAUGAAAUAAGUUAUCUCAUAGUAAUGGGAUAAGUUAUCCUAUAUAUAGAGUGGGAUAAGUAAUUCAGGAAUAGCUAAUUCCGAAAUUAAUUAUCCCAUUUGGUAGAAUGUAUUGAAAAAAUAAUGCAUGUAAUAGUUAAUGUGUAUUACUAGUACCUUGUUUGGUAUAUUUUUUAGCCUAUGUAUAACUAAUUCAAGCAUUAGUUAUACAUUGUAUUGAGAGUAUAUUACCUCAAAAUUCAUGGUACUAGUAAUGUAAUGGAUUCUAAUACAUGUAUUAUCACGAUUAAAGACACAAUUAUCUCUCCAAAUCUUUUUCACAUCCUUUCCACCAUAUAUAUAUAUGGAAGGUAUUUUUAUAAAAGAAAAUAUUUUUAAUUUUUUUUAUAUAAUUAAUAUAUAUGUUUAAUACACUAAACCAAAUACUGCAUAAGAAAAAUGCAAAUAUAACUAACGCAAGUAUAGCUAAACACAAACAUUAUUAAUACAAGCAUUACUAAUACAACAUGUUUUAUAUUAUGUCUAUAUACUCUACCAAACGACCCCUUAAUAAAAUAAUUUAUAGCUACACAAACAUCUAAAACUUAAUUUAAAUCACAAAUUAAAAGAAAAAUUAUUUUUUUUCUUAAACUCCGUGUCAAGUCAUACUAAUUUAUUUUUUUCCUUUUCAUGUUUAAGUAGGCAUUUGACCAUAAAAACUACUCCCUCCAUUUUUAAAAGAAUGACCUACUUUCUUUUUUAGUUCGUUUUAAAAAGAAUGAACUCUAUCCCUUUUUGACAAUACUUUAAUUUCAACUUUUCACAUCGCAUGUUUAGGACCACAAGAUUAAAGGGCAUUUUGGUACAUUUAACACAACUUUAAUUUAAGGCCACAAGAUUCAAAAGUCUUCUUUAUUUUCUUAAACUUUGUGCCAAAUCAAAGUAGGUCAUUUUUUUUAAACGGAUGGAGUAAAUUUUUUUGGAGUUGGAGUUGUAUUUGUCCAUGUCUUUUUGAAAUAUUUUUGUAGACUUUUGAAAAGACUUUUUUAAAUAUAAUUUUAUAUCCUUAAUUUUUAAAAAUUAUCACAAACACCCAAUACAACCAAAUGUAAGAGGAGACAAUAAUAUUGUCUUCAUUGUUGUUGUUGCAUAAAGAGUCGUAAGAAUGGACGGAUCAAAAUUUUGUUGUAUCAUGAGGAGAUUUUGAGAAAGAAGAAAAAAAUUGAAAUUGCCUUAUUUUUUUUAGGUCUUUUAUCUAUGAAAGGAAAAAGUGCGCCGUAUGGUAGUGAGAUAUUUAACUCCGGUUGUUGAAUAAAAUUAAUAGGAUAUUUUUGUAAAAUUUGAAAAAAUAAGGUCAUUUGUGACGAUAAAUAAAGUUGAAAUUGAAGUUGGAAAAAGGUGAAAACAAGCAAUAACUUAUUUUUAUUUUUUCAAAAAUAGUUUAAAAUUGAAUUUGAAAUUCACAUAGCCAAAUACCUCAAUUUUUAUUAAAGUAAAAUAAUUUUUCGAAAAAAAAAUAAAAAUUUCUUGUGACCAAACGGGUCCUAAAUGUGUAAAAAGAACACGGUGAAAAUUUCAUUAUUGUUAUAAUUGUUAGCCCUAUAAAUAAUUUUGAGCCUCCGAGAAUUGUGUAAUUUUUUUCCCUUUCUUGUUUUCCAUUUUCUUUUUUUCUACAAUUGUACCUUCCCGCUGAAAUAGUUGUACGUUGCCUUGCUCAGACACGUAACACUAUCAUAUAGAUAGCAACUGCUGUUGAAGAAAACAAAAGCAGCUACUACUUCUUAACAACUGGUAAUCAAAAUGGGGCCUUUUGCAUUAGCUUUGGAUACAAAGAAUUCUUUUGUGGCCUCCUCUUCUGCUUCAGGUAAUUAAUUACUUAACAUUAAUUAUCCCGGGAUUAUAGUAUACCAUAUGGGAGAUGGUAUAAAUUAAUUCCAUGUUUGAUGGGAUAAGAUUGAAUAUUGCAAGAAUAAAUUUGUUAUCAAGAUUUAUACCAUGUUUGGUUGAUGUUAUAAAUUAAGCCUGGGAUAAGUUUAUACCGUCAAGGCAUCAACCAAGCAUGGUAUAAAUUUAAUAGCAAACUUAAUGAUGGGAUAUCUCACCUUAUCCCAUGUACCACAUGACUUUGCUCUGUCUAACUAUCUUUUACUUUUUCUGUUUUUUUUUUUUCUUUUCCACUUUUUUCUUUGGACUGUUAUAUAUGGAAGUAAUGAUUGAGUGUUGACUUGGUAGUGUUAUUUGAGUGAAAAUCCUGGAUACGUUGUUGUAUGUUGUGUUAUGGCAGAACCUAAUUGUUUGGACUAUUGUAUAUGAAACUAAUGAUUGAUUGUAGACUUGUAGUGUUAUUCGAACACCCUUUACUGGAUACGCCACUGACUGUAGUGUUAUGACAGAGCCUAAUUGUUUAGACUAAUGGAAAGGGAAAAUUUUUGCGCAUAAUUCAUCUUAAACUGACAUUUUACAAUUUAACAAUAACAGCAUAUCCACAAACUGGGGUCUGGAGAGAGUAGAGUGUAUACAAACCUUAUCCUUAUAGUUUACGAUGUAGAAUGCUAAUUUUCGUUCUUCUUUUUUUUUUUUUUUUUUUUAUUGGCCUUUUUUUUAAAAAAAAAUUAAAAAGUUAAAAUUAUAGAGUUAAUGUAUGAUAUAUUUGGUUUAAAUGUUGGUUGAAACAAAUCUAUACUCUGGAGAAAAGGAUGCGUUGGUAUUAAUCUUAGAUGCAGCUAUAAUCAUAUAUAGAAAUUGUAAGGGUAACUGAUAUUAGUGAUUCAGCUUGUGCCCGAGGAUACGGGAGUGUAGGGUUCCACUGCUCCCCUUUGUUGCUAUGAAUGAUAACAAUAAGAACAUAGCCAGCAUAAUUCCACAAGUGUGGUCUGAGGAGGGUAGAGUGUACGCAAAUCUUAUCAGACCUUGUAAGAGUAUGGCAGUUGUUUCUGAUAGACCCUUGGCUCACAAAGAGAUGAAAAGGAGCCCGUAACAACAACAAGAUAAUAGGAUAAAUGAAAUGGAUGAGACAAAUAGGUAGUUCUAGAGAUUUAGGAAUACCAACAAGCAUUUUGUGGUUUGUAUGAACAGAAAGGAAUAAUCACAGGUGUUUUGAUAGAAUAUCAACUCCUAAUCAUUAUUUUUGUGACUAAGAAUGAUGAAUAAGGUAAUUAUAAUUUUAGGGAUUCUAGGCUGAACAUUGAGAUCUCAAGAAUCAAGAUUCAAAUCAAGUCACUUAACUCUCUCAGUUACUGGAUUCAAUAUUUGUUGGAGUCGCUGUUUUUCAUACUAAUAUGACUUGAAGUUGAAAAACUGUUGAUAUGACAGUAUCGUCGUAAUGUUGUUAAAUUAAGUGCACGUACUUGGAAUUACAUAUACAUAUCUGAUUGCUAUAAUGUACAGCUACAUGUUGGUUUUGAACAUACAAAACUUACUAGUGAUAAUAGUGAAACAUUUCUAUUAGUUACGUCAAGAAAAACUGUUUCCCUCAGGAAGUACAAUUGAUCAAGCAAAACUGUUUAGUAUGAUGAUACGUCUAGUUUUAUGGCUCAAGCGUUAAUGUUCAAUAGAUUGAAUAGUGCUCGUUUUUGAGAAAAAAAAAAAGGCUUCUUUUCAUCAAUUCUGAAUACAUUCAACUUUGAUUGUUGAAUGAGAUUAACCAACUACUCUUAACUGAUGUGUUGGAUACCAAUAUGCAUAUAACAAGCAUGAAUUGGAAAGGUAGAACUGAUGGUUUCAUGUGUCACCAUUUCUGUUACGAAAAUGUUCUUGUCUCUUUCGCAAUUAUACUUAAGAAGAGAUCAAGGCUUCUUAAUGAGUGUGAUUUAUCUUAGUGAUAUGAAGAUUGUUAUUAGAAAUAGGGAUAAAAGAAAUAACCAUGCAUUACACCGUAUUAGGAUGUAGAUUCAUAUUGAUUCUUCAUCUUGUAAUUUCCGGUUCUUUCUUGAGGAUGUGGUUUGGUUUUGCAGAUGCAUCUGGUAGAAAAAUGGAUAGCCUUCAGAUGUUACCAAAAAAGUUCUUCGCAUCAAUCAACAAUGAAGAAGAGAAACCAUUUGAUUUCCUGAGGAUUCUAUUUGGUAUGUCUGCUGAAAUAAAAGUAAUUAGAUGACAACCCUCAGGGGUUGGCCUGGUGGUAAUUGGCUUGAGCUUUGGGAUGCUCCCUUUCAAGGUCUCAAGUUCGAUACCCACUGGGUGCAAACAAUUUUUGAGGGCCAUCGAACUGGGUGGAACCCUGAAUUACCCGUGGUGCACUUGCGGGAAACUCCUUGCCGAGGGCCUAUGCACCCCCGGGAUUAGUCGGGACUCGAAGAGUCUCGGACACCCGGUGCAAGUCAAAAAAAAAAAAAAAUAGUAAUUAGAUGACGAUAUUGGAGCAUACUUUUCAUAUAUCCUAAAGUUUCUGCUCUCUACAUCAAUCUGUUUUUCCAGCUUUCUUCUUUUAAUUAACGGCUAUUCCCAGCUUGCCCACAACCAACCUCCACCUCUAACAAAGCACAUCUUCCCAAAAAGAGGGGAAAAGAAGGGAUGAAGAAAGACAAAUAAAAAAACCACUUCUUACACCCUACAAUUGACAGAUAGGAACUCACUACAUCAAUCUGUUUUCCCAACUUCCCAUCUCAUUUGCUAUUUUCAUUCUUUUAUAAAAGUACUUCAACAUUUGUAGGUCAGGAAUGGAACAGCCACACCGCACAAAAAAUUGAACAGUAAAUUGUUUAGUCAAAAAGUUAUUUUGACUACUUUUGCCUAUACUGCUUGUGCACCAGAGAUUUUCCCGUCAUUAAUAGAAUUGUUUACCUUGG
RNAcentral lists this long non-coding RNA (73360 nucleotides) under Capsicum annuum. RNAcentral's name for it is "long non-coding RNA (CANN_LNC019438)". The record is from RNAcentral. Lineage: Eukaryota; Viridiplantae; Streptophyta; Magnoliopsida; Solanales; Solanaceae.